RNAcentral lists this long non-coding RNA (59706 nucleotides) under Triticum aestivum (bread wheat). RNAcentral's name for it is "long non-coding RNA (TAES_LNC011898)". The record is from RNAcentral. Lineage: Eukaryota; Viridiplantae; Streptophyta; Magnoliopsida; Poales; Poaceae.
CUAGCUUGGAGAAGGAUGAACAUUGGAGCAAGAACAAGCAUGGAGAUGAUGGCAUGCGCAAGGGGAACAAGAACGGAGUUACAAGUGAUGAUUUCAGGACUUUGAAGCCACCAUAAUGAGUGCAUGAAGCCUUGGACGAAAUAUACAAGAUGCCACUUCAUAAAUUUCGUCCAGAAGCUAUUCUAGGUGCUGCGUCACCUUAUUAUUGGGCCAGGCCCAUGUAAUUUCGAAAUACAUUAGUAUAGGCUAUUUUUAGAGUCUGUAUGUGUGGGGAAACAAGAGAUAGGGUUAGUUUCGGACCCCUCCACCAAGGGCCACGAAAUUCACCCCCUCUUCCUCCAUAUAUACAGCCCUUAGGGCACCGUUUAGGCUUUGGGUUAUGUUUAGAUUAAAAGUUCGUCAUAGAUGCAACUUCGCGUACUUCGUUUGUGUUCAACGACCAGACAAAGGCAUUACAUAAUCCCACCUUGAUCAAUAAAGCACUCAUCUUAUAUUCGCAAUAUCCAGAUUGCAAUCUCAGUUUCUUGCUUGUUCUUCGUUUGCUCGCAGGAAACAGACCCUCGUGGUCAAGUUGAUCGUGCUCCGACGUGGUCAGUAACCUCUCGGAGUUGGUUUAGCGCUUGCUAAGGCGCGACGUCCUCGCACGUUCGUAGUCGGAUCGUCAAAGUCGACUUCCACCAAAGCGAUAUCCAUCAUCUCAUCGAAAGACGGGACACCUUUGCCUCUAUCAAGUGGUAUCAGAUUUCUAGGUUGCUCGGUGAGAUUUUACAGUUUUUCGUAGUUUAGAUCGAUUCGGUUCUUCAUACAUACAGUCCAGGAAAAAGCCACAAAAAAAUUAGGGUUAGUUCAUCAUAUCCGAACCAAUCUGAGCCUUUGCAUAAUCUUUUUAGGGUUUUGCUUUGCUGAAUUUGUGGUUGCAUCGUCGUGUCUAGUUGCUGGUCUUAGCGUCUAGUCAUUUAGACUUCCGAGUUCUGUCACAGUUUGUCACGCCGUCGCCGCACCAUCUUCAUCGUUGUUGCCAUAUACCACCACCGCUGCCAUAUCCCACCAAUGCUGCCUUAUACCACCACUGCUGCCAUAUUCCACCAGCGCUGCCAUAUACCACCGAUCCAUAUCCAUAUACCACCACCGCUAUCAUAUACCACCACCGCUGCCAUAUCCUACCACCAUAUAUUCACCACCAAUCCGAGUUCUUUUCGCAAUAGGUUUGUUUCCGAGAUCCAUCUAAUUUCCGAUUCGUGUUUCCUUGCCUGAGUAGGAUUCGAAAAAAAAAAGUCUGGAGACCCCCGGGCAGUUUUUAUACCAAAAUUUCGGCGACCAAAAAUAUUUUUCCCUAUCCUAUUUUUAGGUCCCCAGGAGUGUUUUGAGACAUUUGCCAUCAUAGUGAUUUUUUGUCGCACUUUUUCGUCGUCGCUGCCCUGAGUUCCGAAAAAAAAAUGUCAAAAAAUUUCGUGCCCAUCUUGUCAGUUUGACCUGAGAAGAGUUUUGAGACACUCGCCAUUAUAGUGAUUUUUUGCAAAAAAAAUAAAAAAAAUAAAGAGCAGCGCAAAAAAAAGAGUGAAUUCUUUUUUCCAGAGUGUGCUUUUCCCUUGUUUAAGUGCAGCACCGUGAUUUUGUUAGUGUUCUAGUCUCGCGUCUCUAGCACGGUAUAGCCUAGGACCAGCACAGUACCGUCGUUGAGCGUUUAUUCAACUUUGUAUCUCUGAAUUGAUUAUUACUGAUCCUUUUUGCUACCAUAUUGUUAGACUUCCCAGCUCCACAUACAUCUACGUCGUGUGUUUGACUCGUCCUGGUAGUUGCUCUAUCCAAGCUUUGAGAGUUUUGACUAUAACGAUUGUCGAUCACCACCUGCUGCUGGGUAAGAACUGGUAAGAAUUUGAGUUUUGCUUGACGGAUUUGUGACACCCACCACCACCACUUGUUUGUAAUAUGUAGGAUCAUAUUCUUGUGUGUUUCUAUUGCUGCUAACCAUGCCAGGAUCACAAGCCGACGAGAUUGACUGGGAGAACUUAACGAACAAGGAGCUUCAUGAUAAGUUUCAGCAAAUGAUGACUGAACAGGUGCAAGAUGUGCUGAACAAUUUUGAAGAGGCCAUGGAGAAGAUCACUGGCCUUGAGAAGACGUUCGAAACAAAGCUCGAUAACAGAUUUAAUGAACUGCUUGCGCGUCUUCCACCACCGGCUGCACCUGCCGCACCUCUGCAACAACAACAACAACAACGACGACGACUACCUCCACAUCGCGAAACAGCCCUCCAUCGAGCGAGCCGUGUUCCUCUUCAGCCUGGCCAAACUGUUGGUGCUGCUGUUGAUAAUUCUGUGGCUCCUGCUGCUGAUGGGGAGGAGGAUGAUUAUGCGGGAGAUUACGAGGAUGAGGUUGAUCGAAAUCAGAACUACGUGCAACCACAAGCACCACAACCACCAGGUCAUCCACAUGCAAAUAAUGGUAAUGUUAGGGCUCUCCCUCAGGUACGAGAUCAUGACUCCCUAAACUGAAAUUGAAUAUUCCACCAUUUGAGGGUAGAUAUGUUCCUGAUAUAUAUCUUACUUGGGAGUUAGAAACUGAACAACGAUUUACAUGUUUACAAUAUCCUGAGGAGAGAUGUGUUUCUGCUGCUGUUUGUGCUUUCACUAGUUUUGCAUGUGUUUGGUGGUCUGAACAUUGCAGAUUAUAUCCUAUUCCAGCUACUUGGGCUGCUUUGACAACCACUAUGCGUACUCGUUGGGUUCCACCAUAUUAUCAACGUGAAUUGCUUCAAAAAUUGCAGCGUUUGAGACAAGGAAAAAAUUCUGUAGAAGAAUAUUAUCAGGAAUUACAAGCUGGCAUGAUUAGAUGUGGUAUUGUUGAGGAGAAUGAACCUAUGCUUGCACGUUUUAUGGGUGGAUUAAAUAGAGAGAUUCAGACCAUUCUAGAGUAUAUGGAGUAUACUAAUAUCACUCAUUUAUUCCAUCUUGCUUGUAAAGCUGAACGUGAAGUGCAGGAUCGACAAGCAUUGGCGCGAACUAACUUUUCUGCAGGUCGACCUUCAUCAUGGACACCGCAUGCAUCUUCUACUUCCACUGCACCAGCACCUCCAUUAGGUGCCACCUCCACCCGUGAUACAAGAAAGCAGGCACAACCACUACUAUCUACCAAGAGCGCACCAGCCGGGCUUACACAGAGCUCUUCUUCUUCGAUGGCAUCAACUGGGCACACAAGUGAUAUUAUUUGUCGUCGUUGUGAGGGAAUAGGUCAUUAUGCGAGAGAAUGCAAAUCUCAGCGUGUGAUGAUUGCUACUGAGGAUGGUUGGUAUGAGUCCGCUAGUGACUAUGAUGAGGAGAUGUUGGCUCUUAUUACACGUGAAGAACACGGUGGAGAUGAUUCUGAUCAUGAGACGCAAUACAUGGCUCCUGAAGACGCUGACAAGUAUGAAUGUUUAGUUGCUCAACGUGUUUUGAGUGUGCAGGUUACACAAGCUGAGCAAAAUCAGAGGCAUAAUUUGUUCCAUACAAAGGGAGUUGUGAAGGAACGUUCUGUGCACGUCAUCAUAGACGGAGGGAGCUGCAACAACUUGGCUAGCAUGGAGAUGGUGGAGAAGCUCUCUCUCACCACAAGACCACAUCCACAUCCUUACUACAUCCAAUGGUUCAACAACAGCGGCAAGGUUAAGGUAACACGUACUGUUCGUGUGCAUUUGAGUAUCUCUACAUAUGCUGAUUACGUGAUUGUGAUGUGAUACCUAUGCAAGCAUGUUCCUUAUUACUUGGUCGACCAUGGAAAUUUGAUAAAAAUUCUGUCCACCAUGGUAUAAACAAUCAGUAUACUCUUGUUCAUAAGGAUAAAAAUAUUACUUUGCUUCCUAUGACUCCUGAUUCCAUUUUGAAAGAUGAUAUUAAUAGAGCUAAUAAAGCAAAACAGGAGAGGAAUAAGAGUGAAAAUCAGAUUGUGGCAAAAGAAUUUGAGCAACAAAUGAAGCCUAAUAAUAAACCAUCUAGUGUUGCUUCUGAAAUUAAAUUGAAAAGUGCAUUUCUACUUGCCACUAAAUCUGAUAUUGAUGAGCUAGAUUUUAGCAAAUCUGUUUGCUAUGCUUUUGUGUGCAAAGAGGCAUUAUUUUCAUUCGAGGACGUGCCUUCCUCUUUGCCCCCUGCUGUCACUAACAUUUUGCAGGAGUUCGCUGACGUCUUCCCAUAAGACGUGCCACCAGGAUUACCUCCUAUUCGAGGGAUUGAACAUCAAAUUGACUUAAUUCCCGGUGCAUCGCUACCCAACCGUGCACCAUACCAUACCAAUCCAGAGGAGAUGAAGGAGAUUAUGCGUCAAUUACAAGAGCUUCUCGACAAAGGUUAUAUACGCGAAUACCUUAGUCCUUGUGUUGUUCCUAUUAUUUUAGUGCCGAAAAAGGAUGGUAUAUCGCGUAUGUGUGUUGAUUGUAGAGGCAUUAAUAAUAUUACUAUUCGUUAUCGUCAUCCUAUUCCUAGGCUAGAUGAUAUGCUUGAUGAAUUGAGUGGCUCUACAAUAUUCUCCAAAGUUGAUUUGAGUAGUGGAUACCAUCAAAUUCGUAUGAAAUUGGGGGAUGAAUGGAAAACAGCAUUUAAAACUAAGUUUGGAUUAUAUGAGUGGUUAGUCAUGCCUUUUGGGUUAACUAAUGCACCUAGUACUUUCAUGAGAUUAAUGAACGAAGUUUUACGUGCUUUCAUUGGACGAUUUGUGGUAGUUUACUUUGACGACAUAUUGAUUUAUAGCAGAACUUUGGAGGAACAUUUAGAACAUUUACGUGUUGUUUUUAUUGCUCUACGUGAUGCACGUUUGUUUGGUAACCUUGGGAAGUGCACCUUUUGCACUAAUCGAGUGUCUUUUCUUGGCUAUGUUGUUACUCCACAGGGAAUUGAUGUUGAUAAAGUCAAGAUUGAAGCUAUUGAGAGUUGGCCUCUGCCCAAAACGGUCACACAAGUGAGGAGUUUUCUUGGUCUUGCUGGAUUCUAUAGGCGUUUUGUGAGAGAUUUCAGCACCAUUGCUGCACCUCUCAAUGAGCUUACAAAGAAGGAUGUGCCUUUUGUUUGGGGUACUGAUACGGGGCUAACCCGGUGUAGGCCGAUCUUUCACGUUUGGAGUGGGAUCCCUCGAAGAGCACGAAGAACACGGGAAAGAACGGGGAGAAAUCACAAGGGGAAACACUCAAGAACAAGUCCAAUCACACAUCCACUAGACAAUCAAACACACAAGAUCCACAAGGUACAUGAACAAUCAAAGGGAAACAAGAUACAUGGUAAAGUUCAUCUCCAAGAGGAGGUCUUGAUGAUAUCUUAGAUGGAUCUUCCCACGAGGGGGUCUUGAUGAUAUCCCGCAGGAUCUUCUCCUAGAUGGAGGUUUUGGCCUCCAAUGGAGUAGUGGUCUCUCUCUCUCUCAAGAGUAGAGAUAGGUAGGAGCAAAGCUCACAUACAAAUGAGCUAUCACUUUGCUAACCCUAACGAGAGGAAGGGGAUGAAGUAUAUAUAGGCUAGUCCACGAAGGGGUAAGUGAGGAGGGGAUACAUGGGCCUUUGGCCCGACUCUGCGCGCAGGUAGGCGCCGGAUGUCCGGGCUGGGGGGCUGAUGUACGUGCUCUCGUGAGAUGCCGGAUGUCCGGGGCGAUUGGUCGGAUGUCCGGCCCGAGCUGGGUGACCUUCUGGCUUCGGGUGCCUCACGCCGGAUUUCCGGGGGCAAUGCCGGAUGUUCGAGCUGUGGUGUGGCGCCGGAUGUCCGGGCACAUGGGUCGGAUGUCCGGCCGCUCAUGCUUUGGCCUUCUGUUGGUGCAGUUCGUGGGCGACUGCACAGGCGCCAGAUGUCCGGCCCUUGGCCCGGAUGUCCGGCCGCUGUAGCUUCAGCAGCAUCGUCUUCUUCCGUUGUUGCUUCCAGGAUUCCCUCGCGGAUGGUGUAGUUGUUCCUUGGUGCUUCUACUCCCCCUCGACAUCCUUGAAGCUCCGGCAAUACCUAUGCAUGCACACGGGAGAAGUGUCAAGUAGUAUACCAUCCUCGAAGGGGUCAAGUGAACAUGUGUAAAGGAGAAGAUUCACCUUUAUGUAUGAGAAGUAGAGGUCGCACGUGUCACUUGCCAAACGGACUCUUGACAUCGUGAUGACCAUAGGAUGCUCCGCAUCAUCCCCUCCCCCUUGUAAAAGAUCCAACCUCGGAUCAGAAACCAAAUCACCAUGGGAAAGAGAUGGUGGUGCCGUGUCGAAGUGGUCGGUCACCAAGCACUCAUCAUCUUGAAACUCGAAAUGGGCACUCUCCAAUGUCGCACCGUCUAGUGAUUCCUUCAAAAUAAGCAAGAAGAACAAACACUUGGAAAAACAAAUGUGGUCAGCUUUAGUGCAAAACCAAGCGUUCAAGAGGUGAUUCACCAAACAAGUUUCGUCAUCAAGAUAGCAUCGGGUGUGACAAAGGAUUGUGACAUGGCAUGUAAGCAUAUCAAUUGAGCACAAGCAAAGAUAUCAUGGGGACAAGGAUGCAAAUGUGAGGUAGAGAUGCAAGUAUGUGUGACAAGAGAAUAAGCAUCUACCUCAAGGUCAUAACAAACAAGCAUCAAGCACUCAAUGAAAGGUCUAUGGUAGGCAUAAGAAUUAUUCACAACACCAAAUAAAAUGAAGUGCCGAAACACAUGGGACAAGUGCAAGACAAUCCAAGCAUAACGUGCAUAGGGUGUGGUGAAUAUAGUGUGGCACUCAACACAAUAGAAAUAACAAUUGUUCAUCAUGUGUGAGGCAAUCAAGUCAAGCAUGUGACAAGCAAAGGGACAUGGCAUAUGUGAAGAAAUGAUAUUGGAGCAACCAACCAUAUGAUAGUAGCAACACAAGGUAUAUAUGUCAUGAAGCAUGGAAAUGUUGUAAUCAUAGGUGAAAGCAAUAUCUUGAACAUGCGUGCAAAUGGUGCAAGCAACACAUGAAGUACGAUCCACAAUAUCCAAGAUCAAGAAGGAUGACACCUUGAAAGCAUUUCCUUGUGCAUUCUUCACAUUGCCGAAGUGGUAGGAAGUAUGGUGUAGAAGCGAGUCGUGGUAGAAUCUAUGAGGCUCGCUCUCAAGAGCUCGAAUGGUCAACUCACGUGAAGUGGAAGUCGACACAAAAUCCAAGUAUCCUACACAUGCACAAAACAAAACAAAGAACGUAUGCGUAUGGUAGAUAAACACAUCAUCCAUCAUGAUGGUUCUCAUCUUUCGCACAAAACCAUUAGAAGCACAAGUGCAUGAAUAAUAUGACGCAACAGUGGCUAAAGUCAUGGCACUAGGUAUAUGGUGCAAAGAAGUAAGACAAGCAUGCUUCAGAAGAAUUAUGUCAAAAUCUCCAAAUAUAUGCGACAAUGCUAUGGGGGCAAUCUCAUGAGCAAGAAGAGAAUCAUUGUUACACUCAAUACAUGGCAAAUCUAGCAUGAGAGAGGCAACACAUGGAGAUUUAUGACAAGAAGCAAUAUGAUUCAUGUGCAAAGCAUAUAGAUGGUUGUCAUCAAACGCAUGAAAUGAGCAAUUAUAAUCAUUGGUGAUGAAACAUAAGCAAGCAUAGUAAUCAAGUCGUGCAAACUAGUGGAGCGAAGAUGCAACACACUAGAAGAAAUCAUGGCAAUCAUGUCAUGUGAGCAAAUAAUAGGCAUAGGGAAUGCACAUGACAUAUCGCAAGCACGGACACAAAGCAAGAUGAAAGUAUCAUCAUAGGAAUGGUGCACAAAAGGAACAUGGCAAUAACAAGCAAUAUCUCCACCAAGCUUGCAAAUACACAUACAAGUACUAGAAUCAAUCAUCAUGUGUAAUGCAAAGCAUGGGUCACAAAUGCAUGGCAAAUGCAUAGUAAAUAGCAUAUCAUGCAAAGUGAACAUGGAAAGAUGGGAAAAUGAUAUAUAUUGGACAAUAAGCCAUAACCAUGUGAGGGCCAUGUAGAAGAAAUGCGCGAAGUCUUUGCGCGAAAAGAGCGAUGGGAAAGACAAUCCAUGGGAUCCCAAAUCAUCGUUGCUCUCUAGAGCUCGUUUUGUCAACUCGUGGGAUUGCGAGGUUGACAAGUAUUCAUGGGUACCUACACAAAAAGGACACAAACCAAAGAAAUUGUGCGCGUGGUAAAUGUACACAUCAUCCAUCAUGAUGUGUAUGUGCACGUGUGAGUUAGCACAAGAUAAGCAAUGCUCGAAGAAAUUUGAUGCAUGGUAUAAGAACAUGUCAUCCAUCAUGAAAGAAUAGCUAUUGUGUAUGACAUGAUGGGGAUACAAAUUGAGAAUGCAAGUAUAUGGCACAUCAAUAGCGUGUUUAUUCAUGGGGAGCAUAUGGUGCACACAAGUAUUGGGAUCAUGCAAUGAAUGGGAUGGAUCAAAAUCUCCUAAAAUGUAUGAGGAAACUAUGGGGGUCUCCUCAUGAGCAAUAGCGGAAACAUCAUAUGGAGAAAAUGGACAACAUCCCAAACAAUGCAUAUCCGAAGCUAGGAUGUCAUGGCAUGGCAUAUAAGAUAAAUGAUGCAAAGGUAGCAUAUCAAUAGCAUCACAAGAAAAACAAAUGCCAAUAACCAUGGGCUUGUAAUCUAUGCCAUAUGUGCAAAUUGGGUUCAUUUUAAUGGCAUAUGCAUAGUCACUAUGAAGAGAUUGCAAAUAAGACAUAUGGUUGAUCUCAUGCAUAGCAUAUGACAAGUCAAGCGGAUUAUCAAACAUGAUGUGACCUAAAGAAUUGUCACAAGAAAUCCUAUGUAACAUGGCAUCACUACUAAUAGACUCCACAUGAGAAUCAUCAUAUUCAUCAUAAAUGGGCAAAUCAUCACAUGCGGAAAUCAUACUAGCAUGAAGCAUGGUACUAGGUGGAUCAACAUCAUGCAAGCAAUCAAUGUCGAGAAUGUCCACUAGUGGGACUAGAGCAUCACCGUCCCCUAUGUUACCUUUGUCAUUCCACUCAAGUGGUGUAGGUGAGGUGGGAAAGACCAAAUGGUGGUCAUCUUCAUCUUGAUGGAACCAUGUGAGGGGUGCAUCAUAUUCCGCCAUGGCCAUCGUCUUGUCCAAAGGGAGACGAAGUCGUCGAGGAUCGGCGCGUCAUAAUAAAUGGGACCUAGCACCAAAUGGGAAGACACAAUAGAGGUAGAGGUCAAGUUGUUAGAAAUGCAAAUGGCCUCACAUGACCUAUCAAAUAUCUCACUCUCUCUAUGUGGUGGUUCACUCACUCCCUCAAAGUAGGUGCACUCAAAGUCGCAUAUGGUGGAGUCACUCAUCUCACUCAAGUGGUGGGGGUUGUGGCUCUCCUCACAUGGGAAGUGGGGCAACUCGUCAUAUAUGGGGGUAGUGGUGAAGUCACUCUCACUCUCAAUAUGGUGGCAAAAGUCACUCAAGUCAUCAUACGUUGCCGUGGUCAAAGGGAAAAUCCCAUGCUUAACCAUCUUGUCAUCGUCGCCGUGGAUGAAGGCCGAAGAUGGUACAUCAUCACUCUCGCCCCCAAAGAUGGAACAUAAUCCUUGCUCUCCACCUUGUCGCUCGCCUCCAAAGCUUGGUCCUUGAGGGUCUCCAUAGUCAUACUCGUCGCCGCACCGUCUUGAAAAAGAGUCAUGGUAGACUCGGCACCAUCAAUACCACAAAGAGGGUUGGCGAUGAAGUCGAACUUGGGAGCAUCUUCUUGGAGCUCGUCGGGCUUGGACAUCUUGGUGGUACUAUCCUCAUGCUCGUUCUCAUGGAGCUUGGUCGCCGCAAAGUUUGCAUGGGGUGGAGAAGCCUUGGCCUUCAUGAGUUCUUGUUCUGCCUUGAGAGCACCAAUGUAGUAGUCGUCAAUGGACUUCUAGUUCUCGAGUAAGAUAGUCUUGGAGAUGUCAUUGUGCAAUCCCAUCAUGAAGUGGAACUUCAUCGAAAUGGGGUCGUCCACGCCGGCUCGUCAUAAGGCAAUCUUCAUCUCCUUGAAGUACGCGUCGAUGGACUUGGAUCCUUGGAUGGUGUUCUCCAAUUGGCGUCGAAUUUGUUCCGUGUAGGUUGUGAUAGAGACGAGGGUCCCGAUCUUUCGAUGAGAUGAUAACUAUCGAUUUGGUGGAGACGACUUUGACGAUCCGACUACAAACAUGAACGACGUUGCGCCUUAGCAAUCGCUAAACCAAUCUCCUGAGGUUACUCACGAUGCUGGAAGCACGGUCAGCCUGACCACGAAGGUCUAUUCCUGCAAGCAAUCGAAGAACGAGCAAGAAUAUGAUAAAGCAAUCUGAAUAUUGCAAAUAUAUAUGAAGUAUUGAUAAUGGUGGGGAUCCGGAAGCGGUCUUGGUCUGGUCGUUGGACACAAACGAAGUACACGAAGUUGCAAUGGCUAACUUUUAACUAAACAAAUCCCAAGGAAAAGCUACUAGAUGGAUCUACUUAUAUAGGAGCAAGGGGUGGCGGCCAAGGAGGUGGGAAGACGUCCCAAGGCAGCCUAAAACUAAAUCUAGGUCGUACAAGGCCAAUGGGCCCAAGUGGAGGUGAUGUAACACCUUUGGACUUGUAGUUUGACUCGGAUUCUGCUGCAGCAUCAGAUUGUUUCGUCCACAACUCAACGCUCCGGACGAAUUUGAAGGUGAUUCCAAUUGGGUUGGAAAGUGCACGAAAUCUAGUUUCCAACAAAAAAAGAAUCACCCAAUUUGGAGUCCGUAUGAAAAACUUGUGUGCGUUUUGAUUCAGGUAUGUCUGUGCAGUCCGAAUCUGAAUCCAGAACGUGAGAGACUUGGACUCUAUCUUCUCUUGGGCCAAAAGUGACGUGAGAGAACUUUUUGGACAGCAAAUAAACAUCUCUUUCUUCCUUAUCUUCAUAUGUGGAUUGUACAAAUGUCCCAUACACCUGCAAUUAGACAAAACACAAAACUGUGUGAAGUAUUUUUGUUCUGGAUAACAUAAAUAGAUUAUUGAAUAGUUUGCACUAGAGAUCACCUGACAAAUAUGCAUAUUUACAAUAUUUUUGGUCAUAUCCAAGAUAGUCAUGUCCUCAUCAUCCUCCCCUUCUUGAAAAUAAAGCCGUCCUCGGCGUUGCUUAAUCUGGAAUGUGGCUAACAAAAGAGACAAGGUGUACAUGUUGUAUAUGUAUAUGUCAUCCAUUUUUACUUCCCUUGAUUUUUGCAUAUAUGACACAUGAAUAGAUGAGUAACUUGCAUAGUUCAUAAAAUCUAAAGCCAAAAAAUUAGCACAAGAAGUAGAAGGCAUGAAAAUAUUGCAACUCAGUUUGCACAUAUAAGUGAAGCUCUUACUCAUUUCAAAAGAUUGACAAUGUUCAUCAUUAAACCAUCCCAACAUUGGUGAAUAAACCUUACUUGCAUCAAAUUUACAUGCUACAACAUGCUUAAAUAAGCAAACAUGCAAUAAGUCAUUCAACACAGAAUCAUCACCAAGAUUAGAGGUCAUAUCAAAAUGAUUAAACAUUGGUUCUUUUGCAUCAAUAGUUAAUUCAAUGGGUGCACUCAAAAUUGUUGGUAUUUCAGUUGUUUGAUCACAUGCCAAAGUCAAAUUAUCAACGUAGUCCUCUAAAAUAGGUGGUGUGAUCAAAGUAGUGGGUAGCUCAUCAGAUGGUGCAUUCAAAUUGACAAGGCAUUCAUCAUUCUCAUGUAGAGAUGGAAGAUCAGUACCUUUGUCAUUACCUCUUAUGAUCAACUCAGAUGAUGUAGCCACUCUCGGGGGCGAUGUGUCACAUGGUGGAGGUGAUGUAGUCCUGACAACAACGGAUGUGGUUGUCAUAGUAUGCCUAGUAGUUGAAGGAACAAUCAUAUCAACUCUUGGAAUGUGCACCGUGCGCUUGUUCUCCUCGUGGCCAACACGUCGUUUUAUUUCCUGUUCAGCUUUGCAAGCAAGAUGAAACAAAUUGUCCAUAGGAUAACACUCUUCAUGAAUUAGUAUCUCUUGAAUAUCACGGUUUAAUCCUCCCCAAAAUCUAUCCAUAAAAUCAUCUUCACUUUCUUCUAAAGAGGAAUGCAACAAGGUAGUUUGUAAAUCAUCAUAAUAUUUUGUUACAGUUUCACUACCUUGUUUUAAGUGUUGCAACUUCUUAAUCAUGUCACGAGUAUAAUAAGCAGGGACGAAAGUAUGUCGCAUGGCAAGUUUCAAAUCAUCCCAAGUAGUAGGUAUAUAAUCAGGGUGUAACCGACAAUAUUCACUCCACCAAACCAAAGCAUAACCAGUGAAAGAACCAACCGCAACCUUAACCUUUUUAUGUUCAUUGAAAUUAUGGGAAGCAAAUAUAUUUUUUAUGUCGAACUCCCAUUCAAUAUAUAAAGCAGGUUUAAAACGGCCAUUAAAUGGUGGUAUAGAUACAUUAACCUGAUCACGUGCAUUUGGAUGUUUGUGCACCUCUCGUGACGGUUGUGGUAUUUGCAAAGGUGGUGGCACGUCUCCCGUGAUCGACAAAGCCCAUGAAUUGACUCUGGAUCCUGUCAUGAUUAGUAGAACAAGAAACAAAAUCUAAAAAUAAUGUUCCUAUAACUACUAGGAUGUGGUGGUAAAACGCUCACAGUAAAGCAAAUAUCAAUGUCUUACAAGUUCUUACCAUGCAGCAGGCGGUGAUCGGCAACCAGCGAUGUCAAGUAACUCCGAAUAUUGAGUAAAGCGAUUGCCAGGGGAGCGUACGUAUAUACGGUGUAGAAAUAUGUGGAGCUGGGUUGGCUAUAUAUGGUAGCAAAAGAUUAGCAAUAAUCAAUUCAAAGAUGCAAUGUUGAAUAAACGCUCAACGACGGUACUGUGCUGGUCCUAGGCUAGACCGGACUAGAGACGCGAGCCUAGAACACUAAUGAGGUCACGGCGUAGCACAACUAGCAUCAAUGAAGGAUACUAAGUAGCUCUUGACAGCAAGAUAUAAGUGAAAAUCACAACGGCAGUGAAGAUAAUGAUGAAAAACAACUGCCAAGCAGGAUAUACAACAACUCUCUCUCCAACUUUCCUCUUGAAAAGUUUGAGACAAUUUUCUGAUAAAUUCUUUCAAAGAAUGCUACUAACUCAAGCUUUCCAAUGUGAUAGAGGCGGGGUGUCCCGAUCUUUCGAUGAGAUGAUAACUAUCGAUUUGGUGGAGACGACUUUGACGAUCCGACUACAAACGUGCACGACGUUGCGCCUUAGCAAUCGCUAAACCAAUCUCCUGAGGUUACUGACGAUGCUGGAAGCACGGUCAGCCUGACCACGAAGGUCUAUUCCUGCAAGCAAUCGAAGAACGAGCAAGAAUAUGAUAAAGCAAUCUGAAUAUUGCAAAUCUAUAUGAAGUAUUGAUAAUGGUGGGGAUCCGGAAGCGGUCUUGGUCUGGUCGUUGGACACAAACGAAGUACACGAAGUUGCAAUGGCUAACUUUUAACUAAACAAAUCCCCAGUAAAAGCUACUAGAUGGAUCUACUUAUAUAGGAGCAAGGGGUGGCGGCCAAGGAGGUGGGAGGACGUCCCAAGGCAGCCUAAAACUAAAUCUAGGUCGUACAAGGCCAAUGGGCCCAAGUGGAGGUGAUGUAACACCUUUGGACUUGUAGUUUGACUCGGAUUCUGCUGCAGCAUCAGAUUGUUUCGUCCACAACUCAACGCUCCGGACGAAUUUCAAGGUGAUUCCACUUGGGUUGGAAAGUGCACGAAAUCUAGUUUCCAACAAAAAAAGAAUCACCCAAUUCGGAGUCCGUAUGAAAAACUUGUGUGCGUUUUGAGUCAGGUAUGUCUGUGCAGUCCGAAUCUAAAUCCAGAACGUGAGAGACUUGGACUCUAUCUUCUCUUGGGCCAAAAGUGACGUGAGAGAACUUUUUGGACAGCAAAUAAACAUCUCUUUCUUCCUUAUCUUCAUAUGUGGAUUGUACAAAUGUCCCAUACACCUGCAAUUAGACAAAACACAAAAGUGUGUGAAGUAUUUUUGUUCUGGAUAACACAAAUAGAUUAUUGAAUAGUUUGCACUAGAAAUCACCUGACAAAUAUGCAUAUAUGCAAUAUUUUUGGUCAUAUCCAAGGUAGUCAUGUCCUCAUCAUCCUCCCCUUCUUGAAAAUAAAGCCGUCCUCGGCGUUGCUUAAUCUGAAAUGUGGCUAACAAAAGAGACAAGGUGUACAUGUUGUAUAUGUAUAUGUCAUCCAUUUUUACUUCCCUUGAUUUUUGCAUAUAUGACACAUGAAUAGAUGAGUAACUUCCAUAGUUCGUAAAAUCUAAAGCCAAAAAAUUAGCACAAGAAGUAGAAGGCAUGAAAAUAUUGCAACUCAGUUUGCACAUAUAAGUGAAGCUCUUAUUCGUUUCAAAAGAUUGACAAUGUUCAUCAUUAAACCAUCCCAACAUUGGUGAAUAAACCUUACUUGCAUCAAAUUUACAUGCUACAACAUGCUUAAAUAAGCAAACAUGCAAUAAGUCAUUCAACACAGAAUCAUCACCAAGAUUAGAGGUCAUAUCAAAAUGAUUAAACAUUGGUUCUUUUGCAUCAAUAGUUAAUUCAAUGGGUGCACUCAAAAUUGUUGGUAUUUCAGUUGUUUGAUCACAUGGCAAAGUCAAAUUAUCAACAUAGUCCUCUAAAAUAGGUGGUGUGAUCAAAGUAGUGGGUAGCUCAUCAGAUGGUGCAUUCAAAUUGACAAGGCAUUCAUCAUUCUCAUGUAGAGAUGGAAGAUCAGUACCUUUGUCAUUACCUCUUAUGAUCAACUCAGAUGAUGUAGCCACUCUCGGGGGCGAUGUGUCACAUGGUGGAGGUGAUGUAGUCCUGACAACAACGGAUGUGGUUGUCAUAGUAUGCCGAGUAGUUGAAGGAACAAUCAUAUCAACUCUUGGAAUGUGCACCGUGCGCUUGUUCUCCUCGUGGCCAACACGUCGUUUUAUUUCCUGUUCAGCUUUGCAAGCAAGAUGAAACAAAUGGUCCAUAGGAUAACACUCUUCAUGAAUUAGUAUCUCUUGAAUAUCACGGUUUAAUCCUCCCCAAAAUCUAUCCAUAAAAUCAUCUUCACUUUCUUCUAAAGAGGAAUGCAACAAGGUAGUUUGUAAAUCAUCAUAAUAUUUUGUUACAGUUUCACUACCUUGUUUUAAGUUUUGCAACUUCUUAAUCAUGUCACGAGUAUAAUAAGCAGGGACGAAAGUAUGUCGCAUGGCAAGUUUCAAAUCAUCCCAAGUAGUAGGUAUAUAAUCAGGGUGUAACCGACAAUAUUCACUCCACCAAACCAAAGCAUAACCAGUGAAAGAACCAACCGCAACCUUAACCUUUUUAUGUUCAUUGAAAUUAUGGGAAGCAAAUAUAUUUUUUAUGUCGAACUCCCAUUCAAUAUAUAAAGUAGGUUUAAAACGGCCAUUAAAUGGUGGUAUAGAUACAUUAACCUGAUCAUGUGCAUUUGGAUGUUUGUGCACCUCUCGUGACGGUUGUGGUAUUUGCAAAGGUGGUGGCACGUCUCCCGCGAUCGACAAAGCCCAUGAAUUGACCCUGGAUCCUGUCAUGAUUAGUAGAACAAGAAACAAAACCCAAAAAUAAUGUUCCUAUAACUACUAGGAUGUGGUGGUAAAACGCUCACAGUAAAGCAAAUAUCAAUGUCUUACAAGUUCUUACCAUGCAGCAGGCGGUGAUCGGCAACCAGCGGUGUCAAGUAACUCCGAAUAUUGAGUAAAGCGAUUGCCAGGGGAGCAUACGUAUACACGGUGUAGAAAUAUGUGGAGCUGGGUUGGCUAUAUAUGGUAGCAAAAGAUUAGCAAUAAUCAAUUCAAAGAUGCAAUGUUGAAUAAACGCUCAACGACGGUACUGUGCUGGUCCUAGGCUAGACCGGACUAGAGACGCGAGCCUAGAACACUAAUGAAGUCACGGCGUAGCACAACUAGCAUCAAUGAAGGAUACUAAGUAGCUCUUGACAGCAAGAUAUAAGUGAAGAUCACAACGGCAGUGAAGAUAAUGAUGAAAAACAACUGCCAAGCAGGAUAUACAACAACUCUCUCUCCAACUUUCCUCUUGAAAAGUUUGAGACAAUUUUCUGAUAAAUUCUUUCAAAGAAUGCUACUAACUCAAGCUUUCCAAUGCAAAAAGAAUCACUCAAUUCCGAGUUAAUAUGAGGAGUCAAAGAAUUCUAAAACUGGCCUGAAAAAUUGGAACAAGCUGUGUUCACAAACUUCGGAGGGCAAAAAGACCUAUUUAGAAGCCGAUUUUGAGGUGUCAAAUAUUGAAAUAGCUUCUGCAACUAUUUAGAUGUGGCUCGUCGCUAGCUUCAAUUUGAGUACUCACGGAGCCAAAACGGACUUCGCAUGAGGAAGAUACACCUGUUUUACUGAACAGUGCGAAAAACAGAUUCCAAUCCGAAUUCAGGUACGAGAUUGAUUCUAGAUAGAUCCAAUUUUUUUUCUUCUCUCUUUUUUUUCUCACGCUUUUUUUUCUUCUCUCUCUUUUUCUUUUUUUUUCUUUUUUUCUCUUUUUUUUCUCUAUCUUCUUUUUUUUUCUUUCCAAGACAAACUAGAUAAGAUGCAGAUUGGAUCAGGCGAAGAUGUGAAUAACCUCAACUAUGAUUAUGACAAGGAACAGUGCGUAGCAUGUGGUGGAAAUUAAUAGAUGGGAUGGUGGACAGCGGAAGGGAUAAUGAUGCAGCGGCGGCGUGACUAAUGUGAACAGAACUCGAAACUCUAAAGGAACUAGACGCUAAGACCAGCAACUGACACGACGAUGCAACCGGUAAUUCAACUAUGCAAGCAAUGAAUAGAAAAUUGCAAAGGCUCAGACUGGCUUGGAUAAAGGAUGAACAGAUCUAACUUUUUUUGUGUGGCUUUUUCUUGGACAAUAGGUAAGAAAAUAAAUCUAAUCUAGGAAAACUGGAAAUUCUCACCGAGCAACCUGAAAACUGAUACCACUUGAUAGAGACGAGGGUCCCGAUCUUUCGAUGAGAUGAUAACUAUCGAUUUGGUGGAGACGACUUUGACGAUCCGACUACAAACAUGAACGACGUUGCGCCUUAGCAAUCGCUAAACCAAUCUCCUGAGGUUACUCACGAUGCUGGAAGCACGGUCAGCCUGACCACGAAGGUCUAUUCCUGCAAGCAAUCGAAGAACGAGCAAGAAUAUGAUAAAGCAAUCUGAAUAUUGCAAAUAUAUAUGAAGUAUUGAUAAUGGUGGGGAUCCGGAAGCGGUCUUGGUCUGGUCGUUGGACACAAACGAAGUACACGAAGUUGCAAUGGCUAACUUUUAACUAAACAAAUCCCAAGGAAAAGCUACUAGAUGGAUCUACUUAUAUAGGAGCAAGAGGUGGCGGCCAAGGAGGUGGGAGGACGUCCCAAGGCAGCCUAAAACUAAAUCUAGGUCGUACAAGGCCAAUGGGCCCAAGUGGAGGUGAUGUAACACCUUUGGACUUGUAGUUUGACUCGGAUUCUGCUGCAGCAUCAGAUUGUUUCGUCCACAACUCAACGCUCCGGACGAAUUUGAAGGUGAUUCCAAUUGGGUUGGAAAGUGCACGAAAUCUAGUUUCCAACAAAAAAAGAAUCACCCAAUUCAGAGUCCGUAUGAAAAACUUGUGUGCGUUUUGAGUCAGGUAUGUCUGUGCAGUCCGAAUCUGAAUCCAGAACGUGAGAGACUUGGACUCUAUCUUCUCUUGGGCCAAAAGUGACGUGAGAGAACUUUUUGGAUAGCAAAUAAACAUCUCUUUCUUCCUUAUCUUCAUAUGUGGAUUGUACAAAUGUCCCAUACACCUGCAAUUGACAAAACACAAAAGUGUGUGAAGUAUUUUUGUUCUGGAUAACAUAAAUAGAUUAUUGAAUAGUUUGCACUAGAAAUCACCUGAAAAAUAUGCAUAUAUGCAAUAUUUUUCGUCAUAUCCAAGGUAGUCAUGUCCUCAUCAUCCUCCCCUUCUUGAAAAUAAAGCCGUCAUCGGCGUUGCUUAAUCUGAAAUGUGGCUAACAAAAGAGACAAGGUGUACAUAUUGUAUAUGUAUAUGUCAUCCAUUUUUACUUCUCUUGAUUUUUGCACAUAUGACACAUGAAUAGAUGAGUAACUUGCAUAGUUCAUAAAAUCUAAAGCCAAAAAAUUAGCACAAGAAGUAGAAGGCAUGAAAAUAUUGCAACUCAGUUUGCACAUAUAAGUGAAGCUCUUGUUCAUUUCAGAAGAUUGACAAUGUUCAUCAUUAAACCAUCCCAACAUUGGUGAAUAAACCUUACUUGCAUCAAAUUUACAUGCUACAACAUGCUUAAAUAAGCAAACAUGCAAUAAGUGAUAGAGGCGAGGGUCCCGAUCUUUCGAUGAGAUGAUAACUAUCGAUUUGGUGGAGACGACUUUGACGAUCCGACUACAAACGUGCACAACGUUGCGCCUUAGCAAUCGCUAAACCAAUCUCCUGAGGUUACUGACGAUGCUGGAAGCACGGUCAGCCUGACCACGAAGGUCUAUUCCUGCAAGCAAUCGAAGAACGAGCAAGAAUAUGAUAAAGCAAUCUGAAUAUUGCAAAUAUAUAUGAAAUAUUGAUAAUGGUGGGGAUCCGGAAGCGGUCUUGGUCUGGUCGUUGGACACAAACGAAGUACACGAAGUUGCAAUGGCUAACUUUUAACUAAACAAAUCCCAAGGAAAAGCUACUAGAUGGAUCUACUUAUAUAGGAGCAAGGGGUGGCGGCCAAGGAGGUGGGAGGACGUCCCAAGGCAGCCUAAAACUAAAUCUAGGUCGUACAAGGCCAAUGGGCCCAAGUGGAGGUGAUGUAACACCUUUGGACUUGUAGUUUGACUCGGAUUCUGCUGCAGCAUCAGAUUGUUUCGUCCACAACUCAACGCUCCGGACGAAUUUCAAGGUGAUUCCACUUGGGUUGGAAAGUGCACGAAAUCUAGUUUCCAACAAAAAAAGAAUCACCCAAUUCGGAGUCCGUAUGAAAAACUUGUGUGCGUUUUGAGUCAGGUAUGUCUGUGCAGUCCGAAUCUAAAUCCAGAACGUGAGAGACUUGGACUCUAUCUUCUCUUGGGCCAAAAGUGACGUGAGAGAACUUUUUGGACAGCAAAUAAACGUCUCUUUCUUCCUUAUCUUCAUAUGUGGAUUGUACAAAUGUCCCAUACACCUGCAAUUAGACAAAACACAAAAGUGUGUGAAGUAUUUUUGUUCUGGAUAACAUAAAUAGAUUAUUGAAUAGUUUGCACUAGAAAUCACCUGACAAAUAUGCAUAUAUGCAAUAUUUUUGGUCAUAUCCAAGGUAGUCAUGUCCUCAUCAGGUUGGAGGCACAAACUCUCGCCGCAAAGCUCUCUUCGUCUUGGGCCAACUCAUGUCGUAGUACUCCAAAGGUGUGUGAAGCCACCAUGCCGAGGCGUAGUCAUGGAAGUUUCUUGUGGCGCACUUCACUUGAUCUUUGGGAGGAACUUGAUGUAGCUUGAGGUAGUCGUCCAUCAAGAGCUCCCACUCGAGGUACUCCUCGGGUUCUUGAGUCCCAUAGAAAGGAAUCGCAUGGUCGAUGUCGAGGUCAUAGUAGCUCGUGGAAGUCGCGGACUUGAGCUUGGGGAGCUUCUCUUGAGCGUAGUAUUGGGGUGCUUGUUGGCGAAGAUGUCGUAUGUCUGUAGGCGAAGAUGCCUUGAAGUCGCUUGGCGAAGAUGCCAAGGGAGAUGGUGAAGUCAUUGAGCGGUUGUUGAUGUAGAGCUCUUGACCUUCACUUUCUUUGUGGUGAUGGUGUCGAUGCCGAUGUGAUCUUGCCGGAGAUGGUAGCUCGGAAGCAUGUUCUCUUGAGCGUCUUCUCGAAGAUGAGGAAGAUCACUUGUAGUACUUGAUGAGGGCUUUGAUCUCCUCCAUUUUAGCUUGCAUCUUGGCAUCGGAGUUGUUGUUCGUGGCAUCGAACUCGUCGUUGUUGUCGUAGACCGAAGGUGAAAUGCCUUGCCUAUCCAUCACAAGACUCGAGUAGAGGUGAGUAGGAAAUGAGAUAAACAAUACCAAGUUACCUUUUCCCAAAGUUCAGGAUGUAUCAGGGUUUCACUCAAUGUGAGAUGAAAGAAUACUGGAAUUGGUACCGGACUUGUUCACUCACACCUAUCAAGUAAAGCUUAUGGUGUAGCUCAGUGAGGAUAGUGGCACAAAAAUUUGAUGCAAAAUGUUAGCAAGAGUCAAUAAUGUUGAAAGAGAUUCAUAAAUUCGCAAGCGAUACAAGUAGACCAAUAGCAAUAUGUGGCACACGGAAACACACACGCGGAUAGAUAAAUGGGGUCGUGCAACCAAGGAAUGAGCACAAAAUGUGGAAUCCACGGAAAACGCUCGUGUUGCACAACCCAAGAGAGACGCUAGCACGAUUGCUCAAUAGGCGGAUACGACACUUGUGCACAACCUAUAAGAUGCAUAGUGGAUAAACUUUCUAUCCCAAGUAUGCUAUGUAUGUAUGGUUCCCGGUGUUUUGCACACAAUGAUCCAAAAUGAUCAAGUAUGAUAACAUAUGAUAUAUUGUGAUGCUAUAGAUAUUGCUUACAAGCUCUUUGCUCACUCUUUUUCUUUUCUUAAAAGCUUAUUCUCUCUUCUUCUUUUUUGUAUGGCCAAUUUUGCACAACUAGUAAAUGUGCACGUGCAACGCACGUCUCAACCAAUGCACAUGAAAUUCAUGUGAUAGUUCAUAUGCUGGAAAAUUUAGAAAAUAGAAGGAACGAUUAUGAAGAAACCAUUGAGCAACAAUACGUAAUAUUGAUGCACAACACCAACUCAAAUUGCCUCUCCAAGUUUUGAAGUGAAAGCACAAGUAUGUAUAUAAAUAUUUUUCCGGAAAUAGCAUAGUGCACAGAAAUAUAUCGGAAAAAAAUGUUGCAAGGGGCAUACCAUUGUUUUAGCCAUGAAAGGAACCAACAAAGAAAUCAAAAUAUGUAACAAUGUUUGGCACAACUGUACUCUCAUUUUAAGCUUGUGGGGCUACAACAAAUGUCGCCUGAAAGCAUUGUUCGGACGUGCAACUCAUAUUUCUCUUGCCCCAUGAACUCUUUCGCCCAACUUCGGCCAAGCCAUGCAGCGGGGAAGGAUCCAUUGACGUUGUCAGAACUACAUCUAGAUUAUUCUUCCUCAUCAGUAUUAUGAUAAACAAUUUACAACAACAAUGACUAUAUAACGGAACAAAUAUGUACAAUGAUAGUACAGAAUCUAGAAUAAGGACCAUUGAUCAGAUGUUGGAGCAUCAACAUUGAUAGAAAAAGCAAAUCCAUGCAUGUCACAACAUGCUACUUACAUUUCCCAUGUCAUGGAUACAAUCUUAAUAUCUCAAAAAAGAUUAUAGAUAGAUUAGAAUUGGAAAAUGAGGUGAUCCAGAAAUUGGAUAUUUCACUGGCCGAGGGCAAUCUCCAUUAGUACAAAAUCAGUAUGUUCAUACUCAACUUGUAUGAAAGAACUAUAAUACUUGUUGUAUGGGUCCAAUUAGGAGUGGUCAGAAAUUAGGAGAAGCUUCCUAGAAAUUUGAAUGCAGAUUUGAGGCUUGGCAUUUUUGAUGGCUGAGUAAAAAAACAUUUGAAACAAGGCAAAAGACUUGCCAUUUUCAUUGAUUAAGAAGAGAAUUACACGGUUAAUUGACGGAAAACUGGGCUAAAACCGAUACAUCCCAACCCAUAUGACAUGGGCACCACCGGUCAACCUGGCCGCCGACAUGGCACACAGAGCUGCAAAGAAGAAAGACAUCCGUAGAGGAGUAGCAAUAUAUCCAGCGGGCGGGCGAAGUGGUGAGGGUGUCGGCAAUAUAUCCAGCAGAGCUAUAGUGUGAGAUUUAGGGCUACGAUGAUUCUAGACUAAAUUUUCUUCUCAUAUUAUUUUUUACUUGGGCACGUUCAGUUUUUUGGUUAAUUCACUACCCCUAAAUGCUCCGACAAAUUAUCAUAAGCAGAAAACAUGUACUUCCUCCGUUCCUAAAUGCAGGUCUUUUUAAAGAUUCCAAUAUGGACUAUAUACAGAGCAAAAUUAGUGAAUCUACACUCUAAAAUACAUAUAUAUAAAUCCGUAUGUAGUUCAUAUUGACAUCUCUAAAAAGACAUAUUCAGGGACAGGGGGAGUAUAUCUGUAAGCAAGUUGUAAAAGAAAAAAAAACAUAGUCGUAUCAUUUCAAAGAAUGUUACAUGCCAAUAGGUUAUAAUUUUGCUAUUGUCAUCAAAUGCAUAUCAUCAAUGUCAGUACAAUCAAAUAUAAUGGCAUGUCAACCCGGAAUAUACAAGGUCAAUCAUAUAGAUGCAACAAUGCAAGAAGAGUUACUAAUCAUUGCAUUCUAGUGGUUGCAUUGAGCAUCAAUACUCAUUAUGUACAAACAAUACAACAUAGGAAGAGUGAGAUGAUAUAACUAAUAAAGUUCAAAGAAUGUACUGCUGACAAAGAUCCUUUACUUGAUAAAGGCAGUAGUCGCUUGAGAAGUAGUCCUUCCCGAUAAAGAUGAUCUGCUAAUGAUCCAUAUGCAUGUACAUAUUUUUAACACGCGCCGAUCUGCAAAUCUAUGUGAGUAAGCUUGUGCCAAUUUAUUUUGUAGGAGUUGUGGGCAGCCCAAGUGCCUGGGAGAGCGCUGCCACUAUUGUAGCACUUUCCGGCUUGCCGGCGUGGUGUAGAAGGCUGAAGGAUGUAUGGCUGCACUGAAUCAGGAGGAAGUUUCAGUGUCUUGUGCAUUUCGUACCAGUUUUCAGAUCCACGUCGGGGCCUUGUUGGGGUUUUGCACUCACAUAUUAUGAGUCCAACAUCAGCUCACAUCAGAGAAAAUUCAGUUGAGCAUGAUCAUUAAUUUCUUUUUACAUUGUUAAGUAGUAUGAUCAUUACUUAGUCAUAGUGUUUCAUUACAAAGACUUCCAGAUGUUGUCGCUUGCCAAAAGGAAGAUAUCGUGUCUUUACCACAAUAGAAUCUGAAUAAUUUAUUCCAGUUCAGCAUAGGAUUUUCUGUCAUGUUAUUUGUGAAACACAACCUAAUAAGAACUAAAAGCAUAGGACUUUGUCAUGUUAUUUGUGAAACACAAAGGAAUAUGUUCCAAACCUGAAAGUUGGAUGGGCCGGAGUUCCUUUGCUGAAUUCAGUGUAGGCGUAGUGAUGUGGUGUCACGCUGCUGCGUCCAGGCCAUGGUGUCCGCGUGAGGAGUGUGGCGGCCAUCACGGCAGCGUUGGGUCAGUAAAGUCCUGGAAUAGAGUGUGACACCGCAUUUCAGGCAAUGGGUCUAUGUGAGGGAUGAUGAAGCAACAAUACAAAUACUAAUCGACAUAUAGUACAUCUAUUUUCACUAAUGUGAUGGCACAACCCAGAGCCUACAUGUGUCUCAAUUCUGAAAAUUGUGAAGUGUGUAAUCAGAACACUAUUUCAGUUUGGUAGGGCGAUCCAAACAGUGUACCCCCAUCCAUCCAUUGUUAAAUGAUUGUCUGCUCAUGAAAACCUGAGCAUCGAGAAAGAAGACUAAUUGGAGACCAUGGAGCUGAUCUUAUACUUGAAUAGUGAGUGCCUGACUAUCAUGGCUAUCUCUAUUUACGGAUGUUUAAAGGGAUUGGAUACAUCAGAGCGUCUUGAAGCAAACACAAGAGAGUGUCAUACUCAUAAAUUUUCAAGAAUGCGGGAUCGAUAAAAUUGGUGUGCCAUGUUAUUUCUAGGGAAUAAAUCCCUGAGCUUUUGGGACAAAAAAUCAGUUUAAAAAGGGGUGAUGCCAGCAAGCUUAUGUGACCUUCUCGGUCUAGAUUCUCUGCUCAAACCUGCUGAUGCACUUAGAUGUUAGAAAGAGAGAUUGGAUGCAGAGGGCGUGAUGGGUCGUACCGCGGCGACGCCUUGCUGCAAGUCUGGAUUUAAUAGGCGUAUUCAUGAAGAUGCAGCGUGUAGGGUGGCCGCUGACGCAUACACAUACGCGCGGAUGCUCCACGCUGUGGCUGCGCAGCCAGGAGCCGCAUCGCCGUGGGCGGAGGGGUGGGCCAUGCACGCACUCGCCAGUGUGGACUGCUGCCUUGUCCGGUUGGACGCCCAGCUCAGCCUGGUCGAGCUCCUCGUUCCAGCGCUGGACGCCGGACGUCGUCCUGGCCGUCGUCGGUCCGGCGGACAUGGCAUGGUGGGUUGGCGUCGGGGAUAGCCGGAGAGAAGAGUUGUGGCCUUCAUCUGCAGCCGUAUGCUGGCGGCGGCGGCGAUCUAAUAACCCUGGAUCCAUCCCUAGGGUACGAUGGACAUGGAAUAGGGAGGAGCGGUAUGUGGUCUUUACAAUCGCUGGGAUAGGAGCUGAUUACGCUUUCAUGGAACACGUAUUAGGCGGACGAAUCUUUGGGAGAGUAUACGUCGGGCGGACUGUAAUUGCUAAUUGCUAACCUCAUAUUAAUCUAGGCUAUUAGAUCUAAUUUGAUGGGAUAAUCAGACGGUAAUAAUCAACCGGUGUACACUUAACGGGGUGUCUCUAAGAAAGAAGAUGUUUGCUUGUUUAAUAGUAGUAGAGAUGCACAAACCAAGAUAGCAAUUGUGUAUAUGCGGGAACAAACUUGAGACACAAGAUAUGAUAUGAUGAUACCAAAUGAUAUGGUGUAUGCAAUGGAUGGUGUAGAUCACUAAUGUGCACAAGUAAUGUGGCUCGGCAAUACUCAAAUGGCUAGUCUCGAUAGGCAAGUAACGCAAAAUGGGCUAGGGGUUAACAAUGCAAUUGCAAGGGAAUAUACAAUGGUGUCGUCGAGGUUACCGUCCUUUGCGAUGAUGAAUGGCGGUGUUCUUGAUGUAGAUACCAAGAUGAUGGAGACUCGUCGCUAAGUAGCCGAAACACCUUAGGAAAUGGAAAAAAACGCGAACUCAAAAUCUCAAGGACAAAAGUCAAAUGGUGGUAGCGGGAAAGCGGUGGUGGUUUGCACUCGGCAAUGUGGAAGUGGAAUGAUGGCUAUACAUGUGUCCGAGUUGAAGUUGCCGUCCCUGAGUAGCCGAAACACCUUAGGAGACACAAACCACAACUCAAAAAAGCUCAAACAAAAUUGGGUUAAGUUGGGUGUCGGAAGUGUAUGGUGGGCACGUCUAUGCGGAAAUGGUGGUGGUUGAUGAAGAAGCAAUUGUCCCUAAGUAGCCGAAACACCUUAGGAGACUCGAAUCACAACUCAAACAACCACUAAUGCUAUAUGGAACAAAUUGGGUUAGGUUGCGGAAGUCGGUGGUGGCUAUGCGGAUGAUAUGGUGGAGGCCCUAGACAAACUUGCCAAAUUUUCAAAAAAUUGAUGAAGUCAAAUGAUGUUGGUGGUAUUUUUGUGGGAUGGGGGAUGUCAAUAGCUUCAAAACGAGCUAAAGAACGUCAAAAUCGGACUCCGGAUGAAUUAGUUAUGGUCAAAACGGUGAAACACGGAAGGCUGAAAUGCCAGGGACCGGAUAUCCUGGGGUAGGGGCCGGAUUUCCGGGGGUGUAUGUCCAGAACCGUACAGAUUUGGUGCUCCAGGGCCCGGAUGUCCGGCUUGGGGCCCGGAUGUCCGGCCUGAGGCCCGGAUGUCCGGCCCGACGAUUCCAGAUCUCGUUUGGGGCGGAAAUUUUUGAAUUGGGGGCGGAAAUUGAUGAUUUCGUGGGCAAAAUUUGAUGGAUUUCAUGGAUGGAAGGUGGGGAAACUUGGGGGAAAUCUAGAUCCACUUGAAACCAAGCAAAUCCACGAAUCAAAAUCAAAAAAACAUCAUCAAACCAACAAAUCACAAAAAAAAAUUGGGGCUAUUUUUGGUGGGGAUUUUCGGAUUUUAUGAUGAAAUCAAGCAAAAGAAGGCUAGAAAACGGUGGGAGGGACUCCACAUACGUGAUCAACGUGGCUCAUGAUACCAUAUGAUACGGGUCUAACCCGGUGUAGGCCGAUCUUUCAUUUUUGGAGUGGGAUCCCUCGAAGAGCAUGAAGAACACGGGAAAGAACAGAGAGAAAUCACAAGGGGAAACACUCAAGAACAAGUCCAAUCACACAUCCACUAGACAAUCAAACACACAAGAUCCACAAGGUACAUGAACAAUCAAAGGGAAACAACAUACAUGGUAAAGUUCAUCUCCAAGAGGAGGUCUUGAUGAUAUCCUAGAUGGAUCUUCCCACGAGGGGGUCUCGAUGAUAUCCCGCAGGAUCUUCUCCUAGAUGGAGGUCUUCGCCUCCAAUGGAGUAGUGGUCUCUCUCUCUCAAGAGUAGAGAUAGGUAGGAGCAAAGCUCACAUACAAAUGAGCUAUCACUUUGCUAACCCUAACAAGAGGAAGGGGAUAGAGUAUAUAUAGGCUAGUCCAGAAGGGGUAUGUGAGGAGGGGAUACAUGGGCCUUUGGCCCGACUCUGCGCGCAGGUAGGCGCCGGAUGUCCAGGCUCUUGUGAGAUGCCGGAUGUCCGGGGCGGUUGGCCGGAUGUCCGGCCCGAGCUGGGUGACCUUCUGGCUUCGGGUGCCUCACGCCGGAUUUCCGGGGGCAAUGUCGGAUGUCCGGGCUGUGGCAUGGCGCCGGAUGUCCGGGCACAUGGGCCGGAUGUCCGGCCGCUAUAGCUUCAUGUGACGCCCCCGAUUCAAUCGUACACCAAUCAUGCACGCAAAUGUGUACGAUCAAGAUCAGGGACUCACGGGAAGAUAUCACAACACAACUCUAAAACUUAAAUAAGUCAUACAAGCAUCAUAAUACAAGCCAGGGGCCUCGAGGGCUCGAAUACAAGUGCUCGAUCAUAGACGAGUCAGCGGAAGCAACAAUAUCUGAGUACAGACAUAAGUUAAACAAGUUUGCCUUAAGAAGGCUAGCACAAACUGGGAUACAGAUCGAAAGAGGCGCAGGCCUCCUGUCUGGGAUCCUCCUAACUACUCCUUGUCGUCGUCAGCGGCCUGCACAUAGUAGUAGGCACCUCCAGUGUAGUAGGGAUCUUCGUCGAUGGUGGCGUCUGGCUCCAGGGCUCCAGCAUCUGGUUGCGACAACCAGGUAGAAGGGAAAGGGGAAAAGAGGGAGAAAGCAACCGUGAGUACUCAUCCAAAGUACUCGCAAGCAAGGAACUACACUACAUAUGCAUGGGUAUAUGUGUAAGGAGGCCAUAUCGGUGGACUGAACUGCAGAAUACCAGAAUAAGAGGGGGAUAGCUAGUCCUAUCGAAGACUACGCUUCUGGCAGCCUCCGUCUCGCAGCAUGUAGAAGAGAGUAGAUUGAAGUCCUCCAAGUAGCAUCUCCAAGUAUCAUCUCCAAGUAGCAUCUCCAAGUAUCAUCUCCAAGUAGCAUCGCAUAGCAUAAACCUACCCGGCGAUCCUCUCCUCGUCGCCCUGUAGAAAAGCGAUCACUGGGUUGUCUAUGGAACUUGGAAGGGUGUGUUUUAUUAAGUAUCCGGUUCUAGUUGUCAUAAGGUCAAGGUACAACUCCAAGUCGUCCUGUUACCGAAGAUCACGGCUAUUCGAAUAGAUUAACUUCCCUGCAGGGGUGCACCACAUAACCCAACACGCUUUAUCCCAUUUGGCCGGACACACUUUCCUGGGUCAUGCCCGGCCGCGGAAGAUCAACACGUCGCAGCCCCACCUAGGCAAAAUAGAGAGGCCAGCACGCCGGUCUAAACCUAAGCGCACAGGGGUCUGGGCCCAUCGCCCAUAGCACACCUGCACGUUGCGUGGGCGGCCGGAAGCAGAACUAGCCCCCUUAAUACAAGAGCAGGCUUACGUUCCAAUCCGGCGCGCGCCGCUCCGUCCCCGACGUCUGAAGUGCUUCGGCUAAUACCACGACGCCGGGAUACCCAUAACUACUCCCGCGUAGAUGGUUAGUGCGUAUAGGCUCGUAGCCAACUCAGAUCAAAUACCAAGAUCUCGUUAAGCGUGUUAAGUAUCCGCGAACGCCGAACAGGGCUAGGCCCACCUCUCUCCUAGGUGGUCUCAACCUGCCCUGUCGCUCCGCCACAAAGUAACCGUCGGGGACCGUCGGGAACCUAGGCCCACCUCUACCGGGAUGGAGCCACCUGUCCUUUCAGCCCCCAACUCCGAAUAGUAUCACAGGUAAUGUAACAGUGUAAAGUAUAUAGUAUAUGCCCGUGAUCACCUCCCGAAGUGAUCACAGCCCAGUAGUAUAGCAUGACAGACGGACAAGAGUGUAGGGCCACUGAUGGAACACUAGCAUCCUAUACUAAGCAUUUAGGAUUGCGGGUAAGGUAUCAAUGACUGUAGCAGCAAUGACAGGCUAUGCAUCAGAAUAGGAUUAACGGAAAGCAGUAACAUGCUACACUACUCUAAUGCAAGCAGUAUAGAGAAGAGUAGGCGAUAUCUGGUGAUCAAAGGGGGGGCUUGCCUGGUUGCUCUGGCAAGAGAGAGGGUCAUCAACUCCGUAGUCGAACUGGUCAGCAGCAGCAUCGGUCUCGUAGUCUACCAGAGAGAAGAGGGGGAAGAAAUAAUGAAUACAGAGCAAACAAAGCACCACAAAAUAUAUCAAGGCAAUACGCGGUGUUCGGUGUGCCCUAACGCGGUAGUAGGUGAUACCGGUGAAGGGGGAAAAACCCCCGGGAAAGUAUUCCCGGUGUUUCGUGUUUUCGGGCAGAGGAGCCGGAGGGGGAAAGUUGCGGGUUCGAUAGGUUAGGGGUGUGUGGCGGACGAACGGACCGCGUAUCCGGAUUCGUCUCGUCGUUCUGAGCAACUUUCAUGUUGAAAAUAUUUUAAUCCGAGUUACGGAUUAAAAGAUAUGAUUUUCUAAAGAUUUUAUUAAUUUCUGGAAUUUAAUUAAUUAUUUAAUUAAUUCGAAGUUGGAUUUAUGACAUCAGCAUGAUGUCAUGCUGACGUCAACAGUCAACGUUGAACGUUGACCUGGUCAACCUGACAUGUGGGUCCAGGGGGACCCACCUGUCAACCUCUAAUUAGGUUAAUUAGGGUUUAGGUUAAUUUAAUUAUAGUUUAAUUAAACUUAACUAGUUAAUUAAAUUAAUUAAACCGGAUUAAUUAACUUAAUUAAUUGCUUAAUUAAUUAAUAAUUUUAUUAAUUCAUUUUUUAUUUUUAUUAAUUAAUUUUUUUAAUUCCUUUUUUUAAGGGGCGGUGGGGCCCAUUUGUCUGUGGCACAGAGGCCUAGCGGGCGGGGUGCUAGCGGGUGGAGUCGGCGCGGGCGUCGGGCGCCAGCCCGAAUGGGCGCACGGGCGUUAUCGGGUGCGGGCGCGGCGCACCCGCACGGAGGCGACGGAGGGCGCCAGCGGGUUCGUGCCCACGAUGCGUCCAGGGGAGGGCGUGUGGGCGUGCGGGGAGGGGAACCACGGCGGCGGCUCACCGGAGUUGCGUUCCGGUGACCACUUGGUCACCCACGAGCAUCAGAAAGACGAGCGCGUUGGCGCGCAUCGAGUUGGGCUAGUGGUUGGUGCUGGAGGUGGCCGAAAACAAGGCCGGUGACGAGGUUCGGCGGCGGCGGGCGUGCAGCAGCAAGGGGGAGCGGGGACCGUCCAUGGCCGGGCUUGGUCAGAGGGGCGUGGGCGCGAGCGCGCGCUGUCGGCCACGGUCGGGCGCGGCCAAGCGCGGUCUAGGGCGUGCGGGAGCUCGACGGUGGUCCCGUGCGGAGGCAGGUGGCCGCGGGCGGCUCCGGGGUGGGGUCGGGCGCAUCCACGAUGCGGUGAGCGCAACGGUCGAUGGCAGCAGGCGGGAGUCGCUGUGCGCGGCAGCGUGCGCGUGCGAAACGGCGCGGCGAGCGCAGGACGAGGACGCGAGGCGUGCGCGCGUGCGCGUCGAAGACAGGGGAGGAGAGGGGGAAGCUCACGGGGCAGAGUAGGGACGGGGCAACGUGCUCGGUGGAGGUCGGGGAGGUCGACGGGGACGAGCGGCGGAGAGGAGCAGUCCGGUGGGGAAGGGGAAGCAGGCCGUCGNNNNNNNNNNNNNNNNNNNNNNNNNNNNNNNNNNNNNNNNNNNNNNNNNNNNNNNNNNNNNNNNNNNNNNNNNNNNNNNNNNNNNNNNNNNNNNNNNNNNNNNNNNNNNNNNNNNNNNNNNNNNNNNNNNNNNNNNNNNNNNNNNNNNNNNNNNNNNNNNNNNNNNNNNNNNNNNNNNNNNNNNNNNNNNNNNNNNNNNNNNNNNNNNNNNNNNNNNNNNNNNNNNNNNNNNNNNNNNNNNNNNNNNNNNNNNNNNNNNNNNNNNNNNNNNNNNNNNNNNNNNNNNNNNNNNNNNNNNNNNNNNNNNNNNNNNNNNNNNNNNNNNNNNNNNNNNNNNNNNNNNNNNNNNNNNNNNNNNNNNNNNNNNNNNNNNNNNNNNNNNNNNNNNNNNNNNNNNNNNNNNNNNNNNNNNNNNNNNNNNNNNNNNNNNNNNNNNNNNNNNNNNNNNNNNNNNNNNNNNNNNNNNNNNNNNNNNNNNNNNNNNNNNNNNNNNGAGGUGCUGGGCUGGCGAGGUGGCGUCGCGGAGGAGGAUGGAGGCGCGGUGGUUGUGGCGAUGGGAGGCGUCGGGAGCGCGGGAUCGAUCCCGAUCCAGAUCGGAUCGGGAGGGGGGGAGUGCCGACGAGUGGGUUAGGGUUUCGGUCGGGGUUGACCAGGUAUAGGCCAAGGAGGGGGCCGGUUGGGCCAAGUAGGCCGAUUGGAUGGGAGGGGCCGAGGCCCAUGGGGAGGGGGGUUCAUUUAUUUUGUUUUGUUUUCACUUUUGUUUUUCUUAUUUAUUUUACCUUUUCUAUUUUAGUUUUGUCUUCAAUAAUUUUACUUUUGAUAAAAUAUACACUUAGUAUUUAAAUUAGUAUUUCAGCUCAGUCCAUAGCCACAAAAGGUCUAGUCCUCAGAUAAAUUAGUUUGAAAUUUUAUUAAUUACAAAAGUCAUUUAAAUAAUUGUUUUUGCUACUGUUUUAUUCAUCUUGUAGUAUUUAAACAUUUUAUAUAGGUGUGGUUUCUCCACCAUAACCAUCUAUGUUUUAUUUGCUACAAUUUGAACAUUUUAGAUUUGAUAAUUAAAAACUUUUACUGUUUGUCUUCAAUUCAAUUUUGAAUUUGGAUGGGUUCUGAACUAACACAAGAUUAGCAACGGUAAUCGUGGUGACGUGGCAUCAUUGCCAGAGGGUUACUGUAGCUUGAUUACCCGGACAUCACACUUCAGCAGCAUCGUCUUCUUCCGUCGUUGCUUCCAGGAUUCCCUCACGGAUGGUGUAGUUGUUCCUUGGUGCUUGCACUCCUCCUCGACAUUCGUGAAGCUCCGACAAUACCUAUGCAUGCACACGGGAGAAGUGUCAAGUAGUAUACCAUCCUCGAAGGGGUCAAGUGAACAUGUGUAAAGGAGAAGAUUCACCUUUAUGUAUGAGAAGUAGAGGUCGCACGUGUCACUUGCCAAACGGACUCUUGACAUGGUGAUGACCAUAGGAUGCUCCGCAUCAGGUACCGCACAGGAAGAAGCCUUCACGGUAUUGAAAGAUAAGUUGACACAUGCUCCUUUACUCCAACUUCCUGAUUUUAAUAAGACUUUUGAGCUUGAAUGUGAUGCUAGUGGAAUUGGGUUAGGAGGUGUGUUAUUACAAGAUGGCAAACCUGUUGCAUAUUUUUCAGAAAAAUUGAGUGGGCCUAGUCUGAAUUAUUCUACUUAUGAUAAAGAAUUAUAUGCUCUUGUUCGGACUUUAGAGACAUGGCAACGUUAUAUAUGGCCCAAAGAAUUUGUUAAACAUUCUGAUCAUGAAUCUUUGAAACAUAUUAAAAGUCAAGCUAAACUGAAUUGUAGACAUGCUAAAUGGGUUGAAUUCAUUGAGACUUUCCCUUAUGUUAUUAAACAUAAGAAGGGUAAAGAAAAUGUUAUUGCUGAUGCAUUGUCUCGUCGCUAUACUAUGCUUUCACAACUUGACUUCAAAAUAUUUGGGUUGGAGACCAUCAAAGAUCAAUAUGUGCAUGAUGCUGACUUUAAAGAUGUAUUGCAGAAUUGUAAAGAAGGGAGAACAGGGAACAAGUUCGUCAUUAAUGAUGGACUUGUGUUUCGUGCUAACAAGCUAUGCAUUCCAGCUAGCUCCAUUCGUCUUUUGUUGUUGUAGGAGGCGCAUGGAGGGGGAUUAAUGGGACACUUUGGUGUGAAGAAGACGGAGGACGUACUUGCUACACAUUUCUUUUGACCAAAGAUGAGACAGGAUGUUGAGCAUUUUAUUGCUCGCUGCACUACAUGUCAAAAAGCUAAGUCACGACCCAAUCCUCAUGGUUUAUCUAUGCCUUUGCCUGUACCUAGUGUUCCUUGGGAGGAUAUAUCUAUGGACUUUGUUUUAGGUUUACCUCGAACAAAGAAGGGGAGGGAUAGCAUAUUUGUUGUUGUGGAUAGAUUCGCGAAAAUGGCACACUUUAUACCAUGUCAUAAAAGCGAUGAUGCCGUUAAUGUUGCUGAUUUGUUCUUUCAUGAAAUUAUUCGCUUGCAUGGUGUGCCCAAUACUAUUGUUUCAGAUCGUGAUACUAAAUUUCUUAGCCACUUUUGGAGAUGUUUAUGGGCUAAAUUGGGGACUAAACUGCUUUUUAGUACUACUUGUCACCCCAAACUGAUGGACAAACUGAAGUAGUCAAUAGAACAUUGUCUACUAUGCUUAGGGUUGUUUUGAAGAAUAAUAAGAAAAUGUGGGAAGAAUGCUUGCCUCAUAUUGAAUUUGCUAUAGUCGUUCAUUGCAUUCUACUACUAAGAUGUGCCCUUUUGAAAUUGUGUAUGGUUUCCUACCUCGUGCACCUAUUGAUUUGUUGCCUCUUCCAUCUGCGGAGAAGAUUAAUUUUGAUGCUAAACAACGUGCUGAAUUGAUUUUAAAAAUGCAUGAGUUAACUAAGGAAAACAUUGAGCAUAUGAAUGCUAAAUAUAAACUUGCUGAAUAUAAGGGUAGAAAACAUCUUGUGUUUGCACCUAGAGAUCUUGUUUGGUUACAUUUGCGUAAGGAUAGAUUUCCUGAUUUGCGCAAACCAAAGUUAAUGCCACGUGCUGAUGGUCCUUUUAAGGUGUUGGAGAAAAGACAUGAUAAUGCAUAUAAACUGGAGCUGCCUGCAGAUUUUGGGGUUAGUCCCACUUUUAACAUUGCAGAUUUGAAGCCUUAUUUGGGUGAGGAAGAUGAGCUUCCGUCGAGGACGACUUCAUUUCAAGAAGGGGAGGAUGAUGAGGACAUCAAUACCAUUGUUACACCCACAGCCCCUACGGCUACAUAUACUGGACCAAUUACUAGAGCUUGUGCACGCCAAUUAAAUUAUCAAGUACUUUCGUUUCUUGGUAAUGAUUCUAAUGUUCAUGAGAAUAUGAUGCUGCCUAAAUUGGAUACAUUUGUUUUGCUUACAAAUGAAGGGCCUAGCUUGAAGAAGGAUGAACAUUGGAGCAAGAACAAGCAUGGAGAUGAUGGCAUGCGCAAGGGGAACAUGAACGGAGUUACAAGUGAUGAUUUCAGGACUUUCAAGCCACCAUAAUGAGUGCAUGAAGCCUUGGACGAAAUAUACAAGAUGCCACUUCAUAAAUUUCGUCCAGAGGCUAUUCUAGGUGCUGCGUCACCUUAUUGUUGGGCCAGGUGAUAGAGGCAAAGGUGUCCCGUCUUUCGAUGAGAUGAUGGAUAUCGCUUUGGUGGAAGUCGACUUUGACGAUCCGACUACGAACGUGCGAGGACGUCGCGCCUUAGCAAUCGCUAAACCAACUCCGAGAGGUUAUUGACCACGCCGGAGCACGACCAACCUGACCACGAGGGUCUGUUUCCUGCGAGCAAACAAAGAACAAGCAAGAAACUGAGAUUGCAAUUUGGAUAUUGCGAAUAUAAGAUAAAAGCUUUAUUGAUCAAGGUGGGGUUCUGUGAUGUCUUUGUCUGGUCGUUGAACACAAACGAAGUACGCGAAGUUGCAGCUAUGGCGAACUUUAAUCUAAACAAAACCCAAAGUCUAAACGGUGCCCUAAGGGCUGUAUAUAUGGAGGAAGAGGGGGUGAAUUUCGUGGCCCUUGGUAGAGGGGUCUGAAACUAACCCUAUCUCUUGUUUCCCCACACAUACGGACUGUAAAAAUAGCCUAUACUUAGGUAUUUCGAAAUUACAUGGGCCUGACCCAAUAAUAAGGUGACGCAGCACCUAGAAUAGCCUCGGGACGAAAUUUAUGAAGUGGCAUCUUGUAUAUUUUGUCCAAUGCUUCAUGUACUCAUUAUGGUGGCUUCAAAGUCCUAAAAUCAUCACUUGUAACUCCGUUCUUGUUCCCCUUGUGCAUGCCAACAUCUCCAUGCUUGUUCUUGCUCCAAUGUUCAUCCUUCUCCAAGCUAGGCCCUUCAUUUGUAAGCAAAAAAAAUGUAUCCAAUUUAGGCAGCAUCAUAUUCUCAUGAACAUUAGAAUCAUUACCAAGAAAUGAAAGUACCUGAUAAUUUAAUUGGCGUGCGUGAGCUCUAAUAAUUGGUCCAGUAUAUGUAGCAGUAGGGGUUGUGGGUGUAACAAUGGUAUUGAUCUCCUCAUCAUCCUCCCCUUCUUGAAAUGAAGUCGUCCUCGACGGAAGCUCAUCUUCCUCACCCAAAUAAGGCUUCAAAUCUGCAAUGUUAAAACUGGGACUAACCCCAAAAUCUGCAGGCAGCUCAAGUUUAUAUGCAUUAUCAUUUAUUUUCUCCAGCACCUUAAAAGGACCAUCAGCACGUGGCACUAACUUUGAUUUGCGCAAAUCAGGAAAUCUAUCCUUAUGCAAAUGUAACCAAACAAGAUCUCUAGGUGCAAACACAAGAUGUUUUCUACCCUUAUCUCCAGCAAGUUUAUAUUUAGCAUUUACACGCUCAAUGUUUUGCUUAGUUAACUCAUGCAUUUUUAAAAUCAAUUCGGCGCGUUGUUUAGCAUCAAAACUAACCUUCUCCGAAGUUGGAAGAGGCAACAAAUCAAUAGGUGCACAAGGUAGGGAACCAUACACAAUUUAAAAAGGGCACAUCUUAGUAGUAGAAUGCAAUGAACGAUUAUAAGCAAAUUCAAUAUGAGGCAAGCAUUCUUCCCACAUUUUCUUAUUAUUCUUCAAAACAGCCCUAAGCAUAGUAGACAAUGUUCUAUUGACUACUUCAGUUUGUCCAUCAGUUUGGGGGUGACAAGUAGUACUAAAAAGCAGUUUAGUCCCCAAUUUAGCCCAUAAACAUCUCGAAAAGUGGCUAAUAAAUUUAGUAUCACGAUCUGAAACAAUAGUACUGGGCACACCAUGCAAGCGAAUAAUUUCACGAAAGAACAAAUCAGCAACAUUAACGGCAUCAUCGUUUUUAUGACAUGGUAUAAAGUGUGCCAUUUUCGAGAAUCUAUCCACGACAACAAAUAUGCUAUCCCUCCCCUUCUUUGUUAGAGGUAAACCUAAAACAAAGUCCAUAGAUAUAUCCUCCCAAGGAACACUAGGUACAGGAAAAGGCAUAUAUAAACCAUGAGGAUUGAGUCAUGACUUAGCUUUCUGACAUGUAGUGCAGCGAGCAAUAAAACGCUCAACAUCCCGUCCCAUCCUUGGCCAAAAGAAAUGUGUAGCAAGUACGUCCUCUGUCUUCUUCACGCCAAAGUGUCCCAUUAAUGCCCUUCCAUGCGCCUCCUGCAACAACAAAAGAUGAAUAGAGCUAGCUGGAAUGCAUAGCUUGUUAGCACGAAACAAAUCCAUCAUUAACGACGAACUUGUUCCAUGUUAUCCCUUCUUUACAAUGCUGCAAUACAUCUUUAAAAUCAGCAUCAUGCACAUAUUGAUCUUUGAUGGUCUCCAAACCAAAUAUUUUGAAGUCAAGUUGUGAAAGCAUAGUAUAGCGACGAGACAAUGCAUCAGCAAUAACAUUUUCUUUACCCUUCUUGUGUUUAAUAACAUAAGGGAAAGUCUCAAUGAAAUCAACCCAUUUAGCAUGUCUACAAUUCAGUUUAGCUUGACUUUUAAUAUGUUUCAAAGAUUCAUGAUCAGAAUGUACAACAAAUUCUUUGGGCCAUAAUAAUGUUGCCAUGUCUCUAAAGUCCGAACAAGAGCAUAUAAUUCUUUAUCAUAAGUAGAAUAAUUCAGACUAGGCCCACUCAAUUUUUCAGAAAAGUAUGCAACAUGUUUGCCAUCUUGUAAUAACACACCUCCUAAUCCAAUUCCGCUAGCAUCACAUUCAAGCUCAAAAGUCUUAUUAAAAUCAGGAAGUUGGAGUAAAGGAGCAUGUGUUAACUUAUCUUUCAACACCGUGAAGGCUUCUUCCUGUGCGGUACCCCAAACAAAAGGCACAUCCUUCUUUGUAAGCUCAUUGAGAGGUGCAGCAAUGGUGCUGAAAUCUCUCACAAAACGCCUAUAGAAUCCAGCGAGGCCAAGAAAACUCCUCACUUGUGUGACCUUUUUGGGCUGCGGCCAACUCUCAAUAGCUUCAAUCUUGGCUUUAUCAACUUCAAUUCCCUAUGGAGUAACGACAUAGCCAAGAAAAGACACUCGAUUGGUGCAAAAGGUGCACUUCCCAAGGUUACCAAACAAACGUGCAUCACGUAGAGCAAUAAAAACAGCAUUUAAAUGUUCCAAAUGUUCCUCCAAAGAUCUGCUAUAAAUCAAUAUGUCAUCAAAGUAAACUACCACAAAUCGUCCAAUGAAAGCACGUAAAACUUCGUUCAUUAACUCAUGAAAGUACUAGGUGCAUUAGUUAACCCAAAAGGCAUGACUAACCACUCAUAUAAUCCAAACUUAGUUUUAAAUGCUAUUUUCCAUUCAUCCCCAAAUUUCAUACGAAUUUGAUGGUAUCCACUACACAAAUCACCUCUGGAGAAUAUUGUAGAGGCACUCAAUUCAUCAAGCAUAUCAUCUAGCCUAGGAAUAGGAUGACGAUAACGAAUAGUAAUAUUAUUAACGCCUCUACAAUCAACACACAUACGCGAUGUACCAUCCUUUUUCGGCACUAGAAUAAUAGAAACAGCACAAGGACUAAGGGAUUCGCAUAUAUAACCUUUGUCGAGAAGCUCUUGUACUUGACGCAUAAUUUCCUUCGUCUCCUCUAGAUUGGUACGGUAUGGCGCACGGUUUGGCAGUGAAGCACCGGGAAUUAAGUCAAUCUGAUGCUCAAUCCCUCGAAUAGGUGGUAAUCCCGGUGGCACGUCUUGUGGAAAGACGUCAGCGAACUCCUACAAAAUGUUAGUGACAGCAGGAGGCAAAGAGGAAGGCACGUCCUCGAAUGAAAAUAAUGCCUCUUUGCACACAAAAGCAUAGCAAAUAGAUUUGCUGAAAUCUAGCUCAUUAAUAUCAGAUUUGGUGGCAAAUAAACAUGCACUUUUCAAUUUAAUUUCAGAUGCAACACUAGAUGGUUUAUUAUUAGGCUUCAUUUGUUGCUCAAAUUCUUUUGCCACAAUCUGAUUUUCACUCUUAUUUUGCUCCUGUUUUUGCUUUAUUAGCUCUAUUAAUAUCAUCUUUCAAAAUGGAAUCAGGAGUCUUAGGAAGCAAAGUAAUAUUUUUAUCCUUAUGAACAAGAGUAUACUGAUUAUUUCUACCAUGGUGUACAAAAUUUUUAUCAAAUUGCCAUGGUCUACCAAGUAAUAAGGAACAUGCUUGCAUAGGUACCACAUCACAAUCAACAUAAUCAGCAUAUGUAGAGACACUAAAAUGCACACGAACAAUACGUGUUACCUUAACCUUGCCGCCGUUGUUGAACCAUUGGAUGUACUAAGGAUGUGGAUGUGGUCUUGUGGUGAGAGAGAGCUUAUCCACCAUCUCCAAGCUAGCCAAGUUGUUGCAGCUCCCUCCGUCUAUGAUGACGCGCACAAAACGUUCCUUCACAACUCCCUUUGUAUGGAACAAAUUAUGCCUCUGAUUUUGCUCAACUUGUGUAACCUGCACACUCAAAACACGUUGAGAAACUAAAACAUUCAUACCUGUCAGCAUCUUCAGGAGCCAUGGAUUACGUCUCAUGAUCAGAAUCAUCUCCACCGUGUUCUUCACUUGUAAUAAGGUCCAAAGUCUCCUCAUCAUAGUCACUAGCAGACUCAUACCCACCAUCCUCAGUAGCAAUCAUCACACGAUGAGAUUUGCAUUCUCACGCACAGUGUCCUCUUCCCUUACAACGACGGCAAAUAAUAUCACUUGUGUGCCCUGUUGAUGCCAUGGACGAAGAAGAGCUCUGUGCAGGCCCGACAUGUGCGCUAUUGGCAGAUAGUGGUGGUUGUGCCUGCUUUCUUGUAUCAUGGCUGGAGGUAGCAGCUGAUGGAGGUGCUGGUGCAGUGGAAGUAGAGGAUGCACGCGGUGUCCAUGAUGAAAGUCGACCUGCAGAAAAGUUAGUUUGCGCCAAUCCUUGUCGAUCCUGCACUUCACGUUCAGCUUUAGAAGCAAGAUGGAAUAAACGAGUGAGUAGGAUGAAAUCAACAAAAUCAAGCUAGCAAACACGGGGUAGGGGCUCCAAAAACGUGAUCAACGUGGCUCAUGAUACCAAGAUGAUGUAGGGUGGAACCCUAUAGCGUCGAUCUUUCACGUUUGGAGUGGAUCCUACGGGGAAUCACGAAGAACACGCGGAAGCACAAAGGGGAAAUCAUGGGGAGGAACGAAGGAAAACACUCAACCAACAAGGAAUCGGUCACACAAGUGCUAGAUCAAAGAACACAAAGAGAUACACGAGAUCCAAAGUCAACAAAGGUAAGGAUACAAAGGUAACCGAUCUUCUCCAUGAGGAGGCCUUGAAUCCACAAGGGGAUCUUCCCACGAGGGGGUCUUGAAUCCGAUAGGAUCUGCUCCGAAGAGGCCGCGGUCUCUCUCGAGGAGGAGAUCCGAUGGAUGAGCGAAGCUCUAUCUCUAACUUGAGCUAAAUCAACGCUAACCCUAAAACGUAGGUGGAGGGGGAGUAUAUAUAGUCUAAGGGGCGAAGGGCUACAUGGGUCUCGGCCCGGUUGCACUGCACGCAGGCAGGGGAGGCCGGAUGUCCGGGCGACGGGCCGGAUGUCCGGGCCUUCGCGAGGUGCCGGAUGUCCGGGCUAGCUGGCCGGAUGUUCGGGCUGGAGUGGCCGAAUCUUCUGCUCUCUGGAUAGCGUGCGCCGGAUUUCCGGGCAGGCGACCGGAUUUCCAGGGCUUCGGGAGGAGCCGAAUGUCCGGGGCAUAUGGCCGGAUGUCCGGGCUAGCUUGGCUGAUUCUAGAGCUUCCUGGAUAGAAGGGGGGGCCGGAUUUCCGGGCGAUGCGCCGGAUGUCCGGGCCUGGCCGGAUGUCCGGGCUGUGGCUGGAUGUCUGGGUCUGUAGCAGCUGGCUCUUCUUCCUUCUCCUCUUCCAUGCUUCUGUGCAUGCUCGGCCUUGGUCCUUGGGUUCUCCAUGGUCUCCUGGGGUGUACCUGAGUAUGCACAAGGUUCGCGCUUGAAGUAGCAACCAUGUCUCACGUGUGGAAAGUGAAGGUUUAGAGAUGAGUGAGUUCACCUUGUGUCCAAUGGCGUAUGCUCGAGGUCUCGUCAUAUGUCCUCUUAGGGCUCGGAGAGUAGUCGGAGUGUACAUGGGGAUGAACGUGGGAUGCUCCGCAUCAUCUCCCCCCCCUUGGGAAAGAUCCGACCUCGGAUCAUGAUCCUCAUCACCAUGGAAACGGUUGUCAUAGAUGGACUUGUAGUUGGACGAAGUUGAAGACAUGGCGCAAUCCAAGUAGUCCAAGGUGUCGCCGGAGUUAUAGAUAUGCAAAAAGAGCAAACACAAGAAACACUCGGAAAUACAAUGGUUAGCGCACACAAAGUGUCCAUCAUGCAAGAAUGAGUCUGUGCGGCAAGAUUGGCCAUGACAAAGUGCAUGAAGCUUAUCAAGAUGAUCUAGAAUGAGAUGCAAAGCAUUCAUGGGAGGAAAUGCAAUCAUUGUGAACACAAAUGUGUUGUAAAUAUGAUCAACACAACCAUGGUGCAAAAUGAUGUCAUAGUGAGAUGGUUUAUCAAGUGCAUGAACAUGGCAAUGGAUGCUCAAUAUGUGAAUAUUAUCAUGCAAUUGAUGGUCGAAAAUAUGAUCAUUAUGUAUGAAUAUGCCAUCAAAGAAGAUCACAACAAAUUUUCUAAGGAAGUGCACAAGCUCAAAUAUCAUGGAUGACAUGGGAAUACAAGAUGCAACAAGGCAAUCAUAAUGUGAGUCAAUCCAUGCAUAGGGUGCAAACUUGUGGUGAGUAUGAUAUGUCCAUCAAGCAUGACAUGUAUGAGCAUAAGCAACAAAUAUGGAUGUGUGAGUGCAAUGUGUCAAAUGAGUGUUGAUGUACCAAUGCUCGAUGUCGUGGCAUGAGUGGAAUUCCGAAGGUGCAUCCAAUAAGUGCGAGCGCUCCUCAAUGUGAAGGUCCAUAGAGCCAAUCUCCAAUGUCGCUCCUCCGUUCGCGAGAUGUAUCAUGUAGACAACAAGAAGGAGACAACAAUGAAAGAGUGACCCAUCCAAUAUGCAAACUUGAGGAUGGCUCAAAGGGAAGGAGUUCACCUUUAUGAGAAUGUCGAAAAUGUUGGUGUCGCACAUCAUGUAUGCCUUCACAUGACCAAGUUGUCUCAUCAUGGCACCGCCUUGUGAAUCCUCCAAAACGAAAGAACAUGGCAAACACUCGGAAAAACAAAUGAGGUUAGUGCAAAUGCAACACCUAUCAUUCGUGAGGUAAGAUACCCAACAAGUGUAUGCAUCAUGCUCGUCAUAAGAAAGGACAAGGGAACAUUUCAUAAUAUGGAGGCAUAUGAUGCAAGAACAACCAAGUACAAGAGGCUCAGUCAAACAAGCAUGCAUCACAAGUAUAGUGUCCAAGUCUCCAAGAUCAAUAAUCAUAGCAAGUUGACACUCAAUACAAGGUGAUAUGAGAGAUGCAAUUAAUGGAGACAAGAGGCAAUGAUCAUGACAAAUCAAGUGAGAGGCAUGAGCAUAUAUGUCAUCAACCCAAGAAAGCGAGUAAGAGUGGAACAUGGGUGAUGCAACCAAGCAAGCAAUCAUAGCAAUCAAGUCAAGCAAGCUAGUAGUGCGAAGAUGCAACAUACUAGGAGGAAUCAUGGCAAGCAUGUCAUUGGUGGAAAUAGUGUGCAUGAAUAAUUCACAUGUCAUAGCACAAGCAUGAAAGCAAGAUGUGAGUAAAAUAUCAUCAAUGUAUUGGCGAGAGACCAUAUGUAAGUAGCAAUGGGGCAUCAUGACUCUCCCAACACAACAAGCAUCAAUAACAUGGGGCACAAAGAAAUCAUGGCAAUAGCUACAACGAUCUUCACCAAGCAUGCAAAUAGACAUAGAAGUAGCAUAAUGGUGAAUCAUGGGUAUAUGCAAGCAAGGGUCACAAUCGCAUGGCAAAGGCAUAGAAGCAAGCAUAACAUGCAAAGUGAACACAAUAGUAUGGGCAUAAGGUGACAAGUGGUAAAUAGCCCAUAGCCGUGUGAGAGCCAAGUAGAAUAGAUGCGCGUAGUCCUUGCGCGAAGGGAGCGGUGGUAAGGAUAGUCCAUGGGAUCCCAAAGCAUCGUUUCUCUCAAGAGCUCGUUUCGUCAACUCUUGGGAUUGAGAGGUUGACGAGUAUACAUGAGUACCUACACAAAACAAAGACAAAGAUAAAAUUGUGUGUGCAUGGUAUAUGUACACAUCAUCCAUCAUGAUGCGCACAUGCAUGUGUCGGUUAGCACAAAAUAGCCAAUGCUCAAACAAAUGAGAUGCGUGAUAUAGAAACAUGUCAUCCAUCAUGAGAGGUUUGUUAUUAUGUAUAGCAUAAUGGAGACUCAAAUUGUGUAAUGCAUCACGAGAAAUAUCUAGAGCAUUGUUAUUCAUGGAAUGCAUAUGAUGUACACUAUCAUGGGAAUCAUGCAAAGUAUGAAAUGCAUCAAGAUCUCCUAAUAUGUAUGAGGAAACUAUGGGGGUCUCCUCAUGAGCAAGAGUAGAAACAUCACGUGGAGAAUAUUGACAACAUCCAAAACAUUGCAUAUUCGGAACAAUGUGAUCAUGGCAUGGAAAGUAGAUGAAUUGCGCAAAUCAUGUAAAGGAAGCAUGGAAAUAUCAUCACAUGAAAAACAAAAGCCAAUGACCAUCAUCUUGUCAUCUAUGCCAUAAGUGGAAAUGGGAUUGAUUUUAAUGGGGCAUGCAUAGUUACUAUGUUGAGAUUGAAAUGAUGCAAUAUGGGAGAUCUCACUCAUAGCAUAUGACAAGUUCAAUGGAUUGUCAAACAUGAAGUGACCAAUAGAAUUUUCACAAGAUAUCCUAUGAAGCAUAGCAUCACAACUAGGCAACUCAACAUGCUCAUCAUCAUAUUCAUCAUAAAUAGGUAAGUCAAGGCAUGAAGAAGUCUCACUAGCCUGAAGCAUGGCAAUAGGUGUGUCAACAUCAUGGGAGCAAUCGAUGUCAAGAUAGUCCACUAGUGGGACAAGAGAAGUACCAUCACCUAUGUUACCUUUGGAGCAUCGCUCAUGUGUUGUAGGUGAGGUGUCAAAGAUCCAUUCGUUGUCAUCUUCAUCUUGAUGGAACCAUGUGGGGGUGUAUCAUCGUCCACAAUGGCCAUAGGUGUCUCCAUUGGAGGAAUGGACUCGUCGAGGGUAGGUAUGUCGUCAUGUAGGAGACCUUGCACCAAAGAAGAAAACACACUAGGAGUAGAGGUUAAGUCGUUAGAAAUCAAAGUGGCCUCACAUGCCGUGUCAACUACCUCACUCUCUAAGUGUUGUGGCUCACUCACUCCCUCAAGGAUGCUCUCACUCAUAUGGUUGGUGGAGUCACUCGAAUGGCGCUCAACCUCACAUAGGAUGUGUGGCAUGCUCUCAUGUGCGGGGCUAGUGGUGGUCACACUCAUCCUCUCAUAGGAAAUGCUCUCAAUGUCACAUAUGGUGGAGUCACUCAUGUCACUCAUGUGGUGGUGGCUCUCCUCACAUGACAAAUGGGGCAUCUCGACAUAUGUGGGCGUCGAAAAGGUGUGGGUGCAAAUGUCUCCAUGCGCGGUCUCGUAGCUUGACUCGGAGAAUGAGUCCAAUGUGGGCGUUGUCUUCAUGUUGUUGAAGAGGUUCGCGCUCGUCGCCGUGGUCGAAGGGGAUGGCCCUUGCUCGACCGUCUUGUCACCGUCUUGGUGUUGGAGGCCCAUAUGAUGUGGCACCUCAUAGCUCGUCUCCAUGACCGAAGGGAGUUUCCCAUGCUCGGCCAUCUUCCUUGAGGGGCUUCCGAAAAUGGAAGUGUCGCCCUCGCUCGUAGGUGGUCGCCUUGGACUUGAUGAAGUUGAUGUAGGCGUACACGUGGGAAGUAGGCGAAGAUGUCGUACGUCCAAAGGCGAAGAUGCCUUGAUUGCACUUGGCGAAGAUGCCGAAGUGGUUGUUGUAGCCGUAGCACCGUCUUGGUGGUGCUUGUCUCGCGGUCUUCUCUUGUGCUUAUGAAGCUUUGACUUGGCGUGAAGUAGGGCUUGUUGGGACUUGUGCAUUUGCGCUUGUGGAGCAUCUUCAUGAUGAUGAUGUCGUUGUCGUGCUUGAGCUCCUUGGCGUUCGUCGUCGUCAUGCACAUGAUGCUUGGAGGUGACUUGCCCUUCAUGACGAUGUUGGUCACGAACGUGAUGGUGGUCGCCAUGUAGAUGUUGACUUGGACAACUUGCGCUUGCAUCUUGUUUGCGCUCCAAAGACUUGUGGCUUGAAUGUCGUCGUCUUGAGGAUGAUGAAGUGGAAGAAGACUUGAUCAAGGCCCGAAUCUCUUCCAUCCUCGCAUCUUGCUCCUCCUUUUGGGCAGCAAGCUUGUUGUCGAUGUAGUCCCUUUUCCUUGCUUCGGAGUGGAAAAUGUCGAUGGACAUGUUCUCAAUGCGCUCUUGCAAUCUUGAUUGUGCGCCUUGCAUUUGUCGUUGUAGAUCGAAGAUGGACGCUUUGUUGAUGUAGUUGUUCACGCCGUUGUUGUUGUCGUAGACCGGAGAGGAAAUGCCUUGCCUAUCCAUCACAAGACUCAAGAAAAUAUGAGUGGGAGAAAGAGAAGAACUUAUACCAAUGUACCUUGACCGAUGUUGACAAUGAAUCAAGUUCACUCAAAUGCGGACAAUGAAAUAGCACUAUUGGUACCAAUCCUUGUCGAUUCUCACACCUACACAAGUAAAGCUUAUAGUGGAGCUCGGUGAGGAUAGUGGCACAAAAAUUUAAUGCAAAAUGUUAGCAAGAGUCAAUAAUGUUGAAAGAGAUUCACAAAUUCGCAAGUGAAAUAAAUGGACCAAUAGCAAAGAAUGGCACACGGAAACACACACACGGAUAGAUAAAUGGGGUCGUGCAACCAAGGAAUGAGCACAAAAUGUGGAAUCCACGGAAAACACUCGUGUUGCACAACUCAAGAGAGACGCUAGCACGAUUGCUCUAUUGGCGGAUACGACACUUGUGCACAACCUAUAAGAUGCAAAAUGGAUAAACUUCUAUUCCAAGUAUGCUAUGUAUGUAUGGUUCCCGGUGUUUCUCUCAAGAUGAUCCAAGAUGAUCGAAUAUGACAAUCUUAUAUGCAAUGUGGUAUGAUGCUAUGGCACUUGCUUACAAGCUCUUUGCUCUCUUCCUCUUUUGCUUAAAAGCUUUAUUUUCUCUCUCUCUCUUUUUUUGUAUGGCCACUUUUGCACAAUGCACAAACCAAGAUAGCAAUUGUGUAUAUACGGGAACAAACUUGUGACACAAGAUAUGAUACCAAUAGAUGCACCACGAUGAUAUGGUAUGUAUGCUAUGGGAAGUAUGAUCACUAAUGUGCACAAGUAACGUUGCCGGCAAUACUCAAGUGGCUAGUCUCGAUAGGCAAGUAACGCAAAAUGGGCUAGGGGUUAACAAUGCAAUGGCAAGGGAAUAUACAAUGGAGGGAUACCACGAUACCAAGAUGAUAUGGAGGUUACCGUCCGGCGAGGAGGAGUAGCGGUGUUCUUGAUGUAGAUACCAAGAUGAUGGAGACUCGUCCCUAAGUAGCCGAAACACCUUAGGAAACGGAAAAACCACGAACUCAAAAUCUCAAACGUCAAAUGUCAAAAUGGUGGUAGCGGGAAUGCGGUGGUGGUUUGCACUUGGCAAUGUGGAAGUGAAAUGAUGGGCUAUACACGUGUCAAAGUUGAAGUUGCCGUCCCUUAGUAGCCUAAACACCUUAGGAGACACAAGCCACAACUCGAAAAAGCUCAAACAACAAUUGGGUUAAGUUGGGUUGUCGGAAGUGUAUGGUGGGCAAGCCUAUGCGGAAGGUAUGGUGGUGGUUGUUGAUGAAGAAGCAACCGUUCCUAAGUAGCCGAAACACCUUAGGAGACUCAAUUCACUUCUCAAACAACCUCAAAUGAUAUGGGGAACAAAAUGGGUUAGGUUGCGGAAGUCGGUGGUGGCUAUGCGGAUGAUAUGGUGGAUGGCCUAGGCAAACUUGCCAAAUUUGCAAAAAUUUGAUGGAGUCAAAUGAUGUUGGUGGUAUUUUUGUGGGAUGGGGGAUGUCAAUAGCUUCAAAAUGAGCUAAAGAACGUCAAAAACAGACUCCGGAUGAAUUAGUUCUGCUCAAAACGGUCAAACGAAAAAAACUGAAAUCCCAAGGGCCGGACAUCCGGGGGUCGGGCCGGAUUUCCGGGACCUGAUGUCCAGAAACUUGUGCGAAAAUGCACUCCAGGAGCCGGAUGUCCGGGCUAAUGGCCGGAUUUCCGGGAUGGCUGGAUGUCCGGAGCUCGGGCCGGAUGUCCGGGCUCCAAAUCCGAGGAUGGACUCGAGGAACUCGAUUUGGGGCGAAAAUUGAAGAUUUUGGGGGCAAAAUUGCGGAGAUUUUGUCGAUGGAAGAUGGGGAAACUUGGGGAGAUGCUAGAUCCACUUGAAACCAAGCAAAUCCAUGGAUCAAAAUCAACAAAACAUCAUCAAACCAACAAAUCACAAAAAAAAUUGGGGGCUAUUUUUGGUGGGGAUUUUCGGAUUUAGGACGAAAUCAACAAAAUCAGGCUAGCAAACACGGGGUAGGGGCUCCAAAAACAUGAUCAACGUGGCUCAUGAUACCAAGAUGAUGUAGGGUGGAACCCUAUAGUGUCGAUCUUUCACAUUUGGAGUGGAUCCUACGGGGAAUCACGAAGAACACGCGGAAGCACAAAGGGGAAAUCACGGGGAGGAACGAAGGAAAACACUCAACCAACAAGGAAUCGGUCACAGAAGUGCUAGAUCGAAGAACACAAAGAGAUACACGAGAUCCAAAGUCAACAAAGGUAAGGAUACAAAGGUAACCGAUCUUCUCCGUGAGGAGGCCUUGUAUCCACAAGGGGAUCUUCCCACGAGGGGGUCCUGAAUCCGAUAGGAUCUGCUCCGAAGAGGCCGCGGUCUCUCUCGAGGAGGAGAUCCGAUGGAUGAGCGAAGCUCUAUCUCUAACUUGAGCUAAAUCAACGCUAACCCUAAAACAUAGGUGGAGGGGGAGUAUAUAUAGUCUAAGGGGCGAAGGGGUACAUGGGUCUCGACCCGGAUGCACUGCACGCAGGCAGGGGAGGCCGGAUGUCCGGGCGACGGGCCGGAUGUCCGGGCCUUCGCGAGGUGCUGGAUGUCCGGGUUAGCGGGCCGGAUGUCCGGGCUGGAGUGGCCGAAUCUUCUGCUCUCUAGAUAGCAUGCGCCGGAUUUCCGGGUAGGCGGCCGGAUUUCCGGGGCUUCGGGAGGAGCCGGAUGUCCGGGGCAUAUGGCCGGAUGUCCGGGCUGGCUUGGCUAAUUCUGGAGCUUCCUGGAUAGAAGGGGGGCCAGAUUUCCGGGCGAUGGGCCGGAUGUCCGGGCCUGGCCGAAUGUCCGGGCUGUGGCCGGAUGUCCGGGGCCUAUAGCAGCUGGCUCUUCUUCCUUCUCCUCUUCCAUGCUUCUACGCAUGCUCGGCCUUGGUCCUUGGGUUCUCCAUGGUCUCCUCGGGUGUACCUGAGUAUGCACAAGGUCCGCGCUUGAAGUAGCAACCAUGUCUCACAUGUGGAAAGUGAAGGUUUAGAGAUGAGUGAGUUCACCUUGUGUACAAUGGCGUAUGCUCGAGGUCUCGUCAUAUGUCCUCUUAGGGCUCGGAGAGUAGUCGGAGUGUACAUAGGGAUGGACGUGGGAUGCUCCGCAUCACUCCUUGUUCGUCAUGUUCUCCCAUUCAAUCUCGUCGACUUGUGUUCCUGCCAUAGUUAGCAGCAAUAGAAUCAGACAAGAAUAUGAUCCUACAGACUACUGGAAUAUGGUGGUGGUGGGGUGUCACAAAUCCAUCAAGCGAAUCUCAAAUUCUUACCAGUUCUUACCCAGCAGCAGGCGGUGAUCGGCAACCGUUGUAGUCAAAACUCUCAAAGCUUGGAUAGAGCGAUUACUAGGGAGAGUCAAACACACGACGUAGAUGUAUGUGGAGCUGGGAAGGCUUAUAAUAUGGUAGCAAAAAGGAUCAGCAAUAAUCAAUUCAGAGACGCAAAGUUGAAUAAACAUUCAACGACGGUACUGUGCUGGUCCUAGGCUAGACCGUGCUAGAGACGCGAGCCUAGAACACUAACAAAAUCACGGCGCUGCACUUAAACAAGGGAAAAGCACACUCUAUAAAAAAAUCGCUCUUUUUUUCCGCUGCUCUUUUUUUUGCGAAAAAUCACUAUAAUGGCGAGUGUCUCAAAACUCUUCCCAAGUCAAACUGACAAGAUGGGCACGAAAUUUUUUGACAAUUUUUUUUCGGAAAUCUGGGCAGCGACGACGAAAAAGUGCGACAAAAAAUCACUAUGAUGGCGAAUGUCUCAAAACACUCUUGGGGACCUAAAAAUAGGAUAGGGAAGAAAUAUUUUCGGUCGCCGAUAUUUUGGCCUAAAAACUACCCGCGGGUCUCCAGACUUUUUUUUUCGAAACCUACUCAAGCAUGGAAACACGAAUCGGAAAUUAGAUGGAUCUCGAAAACAAACCUAAUAUGCAAGGAACUCGGAUUGGUGGUGGAUAUAUGGUGGUAGGAUAUGGCAGCGGUGGUGGUAUAUGAUAGCGUUGGUGGUAUAUGGAUAUGGAGAGGUGGUAUAUGGCAGCGUUGGUGGGAUAUGGCAGCGGUGGUGGUAUAUGGCAGCGGUGGUGGUAUAAGGCAGCGUUGGUGGGAUAUGGCAGCGGUGGUGGUAUAUGGCAACAACGAUGAAGAUGGUGCGGCGGCGGCGUGACAAACUAUGACAGAACUCGAAACUCUAAAGGACUAGACGCUAAGACCAGCAACUAGAGACGACGAUGCAACCGCAAAUUCAACAAAGCAAAACCCUAAAAAGAUUAUGCAAAGGCUCAGAUUGGUUCGGAUAUGAUGAACUAACCCUAAUUUUUUUCUGUGGCUUUUUCGUGGACUGUAGGUGUGAAGAAUCGACUCGAUCUAAACUACGAAAAACUAUAAAAUCUCACCGAGCAACCUAGAAAUAUGAUACCACUUGAUAGAGGCAAAGGUGUCCUGUCUUUCGACGAGAUGAUGGAUAUCGCUUUGGUGGAAGUCGACUUUGGCGAUCCGACAACAAACGUGCGCGGACGUCGCGCCUUAGCAAUCGCUAAAGCAACUCCGAGAGGUUAUUGACCACGCCGGAGCAUGAUCAACCUGACCACGAGGGUCUGUUUCCUGCGAGCAAACGAAGAACAAGCAAGAAUCUGAGAUUGCAAUAUGGAUAUUGCGAAUAUAAGAUGAAAGCUUUAUUGAUCAAGGUGGGGUUCUAUGACGUCUUUGUCUGGUCGUUGAACACAAACGAAGUACGCAAAGUUGCAGCUAUGGCGAACUUUAAUCUAAACAAAACCCAAAGUCUAAACGGUGCCCUAAGGGCUGUAUAUAUGGAGGAAGAGGGGGUGAGUUUCAUGGCCCUUGGUAGAGGGGUCCGAAACUAACCCUAUCUCUUGUCUCCCCACACAUACGGACUCUAAAAAUAGCCUAUACUUAUGUAUUUCGAAAUUACAUGGGCCUGGCCCAAUAAUAAGGUGACGCAGCACCUAGAAUAGCCUCUGGACGAAAUUUAUCAAGUGGCAUCUUGUAUAUUUCGUCCAAGGCUUCAUGCACUCAUUAUGGUGGCUUCAAAGUCCUAAAAUCAUCACUUGUAACUCCGUUCUUGUUCCCCUUGCGCAUGUCAUCAUCUCCAUGCUUGUUCUUGCUUCAAUGUUCAUCCUUCUCCAAGCUAGGCCCUUCAUUUGUAAGCAAAACAAAUGUAUCCAAUUUAGGCAGCAUCAUAUUCUCAUGAACAUUAGAAUCAUUACUAAGAAACGAAAGUACCUGAUAAUUUAAUUGGCGUGUGUGAGCUCUAGUAAUUGGUCCAGUAUAUGUAGCAGUAGGGGCUGUGGGUGUAACAAUGGUAUUGAUGUCCUCAUCACCAGGCCCAUGUAAUUUCGAAAUACAUAAGUAUAGGCUAUUUUUAGAGUCCGUAUGUGUGGGGAAACAAGAGAUAGGGUUAGUUUCAGACUCCUCCACCAAGGGCCAUGAAAUUCACACCCUCUUCCUCCAUAUAUACAGCCCUUAGGGCACCCUUUAGACUUUGGGUUUUGUUUAGAUUAAAAGUUCGACAUAGCUGCAACUUCGCGUACUUCAUUUGUGUUCAACGACUAGACAAAGGCGUAACAUAACCCCACCUUGAUCAAUAAAGCUUUCAUCUUAUAUUCGCAAUAUCUAGAUUGCAAUCUCACUUUCUUGCUUGUUCUUCAUUUGCUCGCAGGAAACAGACCCUCGUGGUCAGGUUGAUCGUGCUCCGGCGUGGUCAAUAACCUCUCGGAGUUGGUUUAGCGAUUGCUAAGGCGCGACGUCCUCGCACGUUCGUAGUCGGAUCGUCAAAGUCGACUUCCACCAAAGCGAUAUCCAUCAUCUCAUCGAAAGACGGGACACCUUUGCCUCUAUUAGAACUCGUGGUCAUCGAACUCAUCGUCCUUGUCAUGAUCAUUGUCUUCUUGCUUCUUGUCGCGGCCCCAGGCGGGCCUCUCCUGAUGAUUAUCUUUGCUGCAGUGGCCUCUUUGGCCACGACGCUUCUUGCCGGACCCCUCGGCACCUUCUUGGCCCUUCUGCUUGUCCUGCCGCUCGUAUUCAGCUUUCUGCUUCUCAGCGAGCAGCUCCACUUGCCGACAGUUCCGGAGGUCAUGGCCCUUGGUGCAGUGGAUCUUGCAAUACUGCUUGUCGGAGCCCCCUGACUUAUCGGCAACCGCCAAGGCCCGGCAAGCGGCACACCCGGCAACCUCCUUGCCGGGGUCACUUGCCUUGGGUUUCUUGCUGGCACCGGUAUCGUCGGACCCCUCGACGGCAAGCACGGUCUUUCCCUUGCGCUUCCUGUUACGGCGCCGGCCCUUCUUCGCUGGGGUGGUGGUAUCAUCCGUUGAGUCGGUUUUCGCGCCAGCGUAUUCGCCAGGGUACUUCCUUCCCUCUUCAGCGCGAGCGCAAGGAUCGGCCAGAACAUAAAGUUCGGCCACAUCCCUGACCUUGUUCAUCGCCAGCUCCUCAUGCAUCUUACGAUUGUGCACAUUCUGAUGGAAUGCACUGAUCACGGCAGCAGGAUGAACGUCGGGGAUGUUGUACUGCACUCCGCUGAACCUUUGGAUGUACUUACGCAAGUUUUCUCCUUCUUUCUGGGGGAUGAUGUGCAAGUCGCUCGCCUGGCCAUGAGCUUGGUGGCCUCCAGUAAAGGCGCCAACAAACUCAUGACACAGAUCCGCCCAGGAAGAAAUGGAGUGCACCGGAAAGUGCAAUAACCAUGACAUAACAUUGGGCUUGAGUGCCAAUGGGAAGUAAUUGGCAAGCACCUUAUCGUCGCGGGCCCCAGCAGCUUACAUCGCGAUGGUGUAGACGCUGAGGAACUCCAACGGGUGAGUCUUGCCAUAGUACUUCUCGCCAACGUCGGGCUUGAACGUGCGGUGGGAGGGCCACUGGAACUGCCGCAGCUCUUGGGUGAAGGCCGGACAACCCACCUCGUAGGUAAGCCACCGUAGCCUCCUGGUGCCGGGUGGUCCGUAGUGGGCCCUGCCCGUCUGUCCGACUAGUGGCGCGCAUCACGCUGGCGCUCGACGGUGGUUCAAGCGUCUUCAUGAGCUCGCUACCGAAGAACUUGGAAUUGGUCACGGUGGGUUCGCGGGUCGGACGACGCUAUGGAGAUAUCAUCACGAGUGUCAUCGCGACGGACCGACACUCGUGUUGGCCGGGAUGGAGGAGGGGAGUACACCGUGGCCGCAUCGCCUCCGGCCCGACCUUCGCUGGCAUGCGGUGGCUCGACGGAGCGAUGGCCUACAGGUCAUGCCGGCCGGAACUCAUCGUUGUUAGCGAUGCCGACGAGGCUCCGGACGGCGGCCCUCCAUUCGUCAUGCUUCUCCGCAGCGGGAGGAAAGUCGAGGAGCAGCUGCGCGCGUGCUUGGGCUUCUGUUGGCGUGGGCGGUGACGAAAUAUGUGUGGACCGCGAUGCGCCUCGACUUCUAACAGUGUUAGAAGGAGCCCCAUCACGGCCCCGUAGCCGUUCGCCACCUCCGCCAGCACCUCGGCACGCAUGCUGGCCCUCCUCAUCCAGUGAAGGGCGCAUGGGACUCUUCCAGGGCGGCGCCCAGGGUCACCAGUAGGGCGGCGCCCAGGGUCACAAGCAGGGCGGCGCUGCUCAUCGCGCACGACCUAAGAAGAGCGCGCCGUGGGCGCCAGUGUUGGUGUCUUGGAGGUCGCCACGCCGCCGUCUAGCGGCACGACGACACCCCUGGAGGGCACCGCGCCGCCUGCGGGGGGGCCGACUCCGUCUCUGGAGCCCACGACGCGUCACUCGUUGCCUGGCGUAUGAACGACGCUGCUCACCAGGCCUGGACUGCUAGGGUGAUGUGGGUGUUUGUGGGCCGCACCAUGGGUUCUCUCCGUGACUGGCCCACUACUGUGAUGAGGACAUCAAUACAAUUGUUACACCCACAGCCCCUGCUGCUAUACAUACUGGACCAAUUACUAGAGCUCGUGCACGCCAACUAAAUUACCAGGUACUUUCGUUUCUUGGUAAUGAUUCUAAUGUUCAUGAGAAUAUGAUGCUGCCUAAAUUGGAUACAUUUGUUUUGCUUACAAAUGAAGGGCCUAGCUUGGAGAAGGAUGAACAUUGGAGCAAGAACAAGCAUGGAGAUGAUGGCAUGCGCAAGGGGAACAAGAACGGAGUUACAAGUGAUGAUUUCAGGACUUUGAAGCCAGCAUAAUGGGUGCAUGAAGCCUUGGACGAAAUAUACAAGAUGCCACUUCAUAAAUUUCGUCCCGAGGCUAUUUUAGGUGCUGCGUCACGUUAUUAUUGGGCCAGGCCCAUGUAAUUUCGAAAUACAUAAGUAUAGGCUAUUUUUAGAGUCCGUAUGUGUGGGGAAAUAAGAGAUAGGGUUGAUUUCGGACCCCUCCACCAAGGGCCACGAAAUUCCCCCCUCUUCCUCCAUAUAUACAGCCCUUAGGGCAUCGUUUAGACUUUGGGUUUUGUUUAGAUUAAAAGUUCACCAUAGCUGCAACUUCGCGUACUUCGUUUGUGUUCAACGACCAGACAAAGGCAUCACAGAACCCCACCUUGAUCAAUAAAGUUUUCAUCUUAUAUUUGCAAUAUCCAGAUUGCAAUCUCAGUUUCUUGCUUGUUCUUCGUUUGCUCGCAGGAAACAGACCCUCGUGGUCAGGUUGAUCGUGCUCCGGCGUGGUCAAUAACCUCUCAGAGUUGGUUUAGCGAUUGCUAAGGCGCGACGUCCUCGCACGUUCGUAGUCGGAUCGUCAAAGUCGACUGCCACCAAAGCGAUAUCCAUCUUCUCAUCGAAAGACGGGACACCUUUGCCUCUAUCAAGUGGUAUCAGAUUUCCAGGUUGCUCGGUGAGAUUUUACAGUUUUUCGUAGUUUAGAUCGAGUCUGUUCUUCAUACCUACAGUCCACGAAAAAGCCACAAAAAAAAUUAGGGUUAGUUCAUCAUAUCCGAACCAAUCUGAGCCUUUGCAUAAUCUUUUUAGGGUUUUGCUUUGUUGAAUUUGCGGUUGCAUCGUCGUUUCUAGUUGCUGGUCUUAGAGUCUAGUCUUUUAGAGUUUCGAGUUCUGGUCAUAAGUUGUCACGCCGCCGCCGCACCAUCAUCAUCACCCCUACCAUCUACCACCACCGCUUAUCCGCCACCGCUUCGAAUCCGUAUCCAUAUACCACCGCCGCUGUCAUAUACCACCACCGCUGCCAUCUACCACCAUAUAUCCACCACCAAUCCGAGUUCUUGUCAUAUUAGGUUUGUUUUCGAGAUCCAUCUAGAUUCCGAUUCGUGUUUCCUUGCCGGAGUAGGUUUCUUAAAAAAAAUUGAGACAGGUAGCCACGCUCCGUUUAGGCCCAAAAUUUGAGACAGGUAGCCAUGCCGGAGUUGGGUAGCCACGCUCCGUUUAGGCCCAAAAUUUUUCGAAAACGCAUUUUUCGAAAAAAUUUCUGGCUAUCCUAUUUUUAGGUGUUUCUGAGUGUUUUGAGACAGGUGCCAUUAUAGGAAGUUUUUUUGACCCGUUUCCAGGUUUUGGGUCCGGGCAGUCAAAAAAAAAAUUGUCGAAAAAAAAAAUUGCGUGCCCAUCCUGUCAGUUUGACCUAGGAAGAGUUUUGAGACACUCGCCAUUAUAGUGCUUUUUCGCAAAAGAAAAAAAAAGCAGCGCAAAAAAAAGAGCGCAAAAAAAAAGAGAGCGAAAAGAAAAAUUCCAGAGUGUGCUUUUCCCUUGUUUACGUGCCGCGCCGUGAUUUUGUUGGUGUUCUAGGCUCGCGUCUCUAGCACAGUCUAGCCUAGGACCAGCACAGUACCGUCGUUGAGCGUUUAUUCAACUUUGCAUCUCUGAAUUGAUUAUUGCUGACCCUUUUUGCUACCAUACUAUAAGCCUUCCCAGCUCCACAUACAUCUACGUCGUGUGUUUGACUCUCCCUGGUAAUCGCUCUAUCCAAGCUUUGAGAGUUUUUGACUACAACGGUUGCCGAUCACCGCCUGCUGCUGGGUAAGAACUGGUAAGAAUUUGAGAUUUGCUUGACGGAUUUGUGAUACACCACCACCACUUCUUAGUAGUCUGUAGGAUCAUAUUCUUGUGUGUUUCUAUUGCUGCUAACCAUGCCAGGAUCACAAGCCGACGAGAUUGACUGGGAGAACUUAUCGAACAAGGAGCUUCAUGAUAAGUUUCAACAAAUGAUGACUGAACAGGUACAAGAUGUGCUGAACAAUUUUGAAGAGGCCAUGGAGAAGAUCACUGGCCUUGAGAAGACGUUCGAAACAAAGCUCGAUAACAGAUUUAAUGAACUGCUUGCGCGUCUUCCACCACCGGCUGCACCUGUCGCACCUCUGCAACAACAACAACUACGCCCCCUUCCGAAUCAGUAUGGACGGGCACAGCGUGUUCCUAUUGAGCCAGGACAAAAUUCUGGUGCCGCUGCUACUGCUGUUGGUGUUUCUUUGGCUCCUGCUACUGCUGCUGCUGGUACCCAGGAGGAUGAUGAGUAUGCGGGCGAUUAUGAGGAUGAGGUUGAUCAAAAUCAGAUCUACGAGCAGCCACCAGCACCACCACCAGCAGGUCGACCUCAGGUAUAUAUUCGUAAUGGUAGGCCUGCACCACCACCUCAGGUACGAGAUGAUGUCCAUAUUCCUAAACUGAAAUUGAAUAUUCCACCAUUUGAGGGUAGAUAUGUUCCUGAUAUAUAUCUUACUUGGGAGUUAGAAACUGAACAAUGAUUUACAUGUUUACAAUAUCCUGAGGAGAGGCGAGUUGCUGCUGCUGUUUGUGCUUUCACUAGUUUUGCAUGUGUAUGGUGGUCUGAACAUUGUAGACUAUAUCCUAUUCCAACUACUUGGGCUGCUUUGAAAACUGCUAUGCGUACUCGUUGGGUUCCACCAUAUUAUCAACGUGAAUUGCUUCAAAAAUUACAGCGCUUAAGACAAGGAAAAAAUUCUGUAGAAGAAUAUUAUCAGGAAUUACAAACUGGCAUGAUUAGAUGUGAUAUUGUUGAGGAGAAUGAAGCUAUGCUUGCACGUUUUCUGGGUGGAUUAAAUAGAGAGAUUCAGACCAUUCUAGACUAUAAGGAGUAUACUAAUAUCACUCGUUUAUUCCAUCUUGCUUGUAAAGCUGAACGUGAAGUGCAGGAUCGACAAGCAUUGGCGCGAACUAACUUUUCUACAGGACGACCUUCAUCAUGGACACCGCGUGCAUCUUCUACUUCAACUGCACGAGCACCUCAAUCAGGUGCCUCCUACAGCCGUGAUACAAGAAAACAGGAACAACCACCUGAUGAGGACAUGGCUACCAUAGUUACACCCAUAUCCUCUGUUGUUUUACCUCUUGGAACAGUUGCUAGAGCUCAGAUACGCCAAUUAAAUUAUCAGGUACUUUCGUUUCUUGGUAAUGUUUCUAGUGUUCAUGAGAAUAUGAUGUUGCCUAACUUAGAUACAUUUGUGUUGCUUGCAAUUGAAGGGCCUAGCACGGACAAGAAGGAUGAACAUUGGAGCAUGGUCAAGCACGAAGAUGAAGGUGCGUGCAAAGAGAACAAGAACGGAGGUUCAAGUGGAGAUUUCCGGACUUUGAAGCCACCAUGAUGACAUACAAGAAGAUGGACAAAAUAUACAAGAUGGCCUUUCAUAAAUUUCCUCCGUAGCUUAUUAUUGGUGUUGCGCCACCUUAUUUUGGGCCAGGCCCAUGUAAUCUAUUUUUAGAGUCCAUAUUAUAGGGGAAAGGACUUAGGAGGUGUUUUAGUCCCACCUUGCCAAGGGUGGACAAAAUCCCCUCUCUUUUCCCUAUAUAUAUAGCCCUUAAGGCUUCGUUUAGACUUGGGGAUUUGUUUAGUUAAAAGUUAGCCAUUGCAACUUCGUGUACUUCGUUUGUGUUCAACGACCAGACCAAGACCGCUUACGGAUCCCCACCAUUAUCAAUACCUCAUAUAUAUUUGCAAUAUUCAGAUUGCUUUAUCAUAUUCUUGCUCGUUCUUCGAUUGCUUGCGGGAAUAGACCUUCGUGGUCAGGCUGACCGUGCUUCCGGCAUCGUCAGUAACCUUAGGAGAUUGGUUUAGCGAUUGCUAAGGCGCAACGUCGUGCAUGUUUGUAGUCGGAUCGUCAAAGUCGUCUCCACCAAAUCGAUAGUUAUCAUCUCAUCGUGUGUCGAGUUGCUGGUUUUUAGUGUCUAGUCUUUUAGAGUUUCGAGUUCUGGUCACGUUUUGUUCACGCCGCAUCCGCAUACACCAUCAUCCACUUCAUUAUCAUUCUCCGCUGCCCGAUCUUUUCUUCACCGCCGCUGCCGCCAUCAUCAUCAUCCAUCUGUUGUUGCCGUUCGUCGCCAUCUUGACUUGUCUUUGAAAAAAAAAUCAGCAUCGUGAUCCUUGUUGGAGAGAAAGUUUGGACCCUUAUUUUGUGGAUCACGUGAUACAACAGUUUGCAAGGUUGGGAUCAGCCAAUAGAAGAAAAAAAAAGAGGUGCAAACAGGAGUUGCCCUGGGCUGGACUGAAUAUAACAAAAAGGAGGAGAUUUAAAGGGUUCAGAACGCUUGUGGUGAUUGUUUUCCUUAGAAACCAUGAGUACUACUAGUACUUUUGAAGCAAGAUAAGGCAAGGGGCCAGUGCAAAUCGUGAUCUGUUGACCAGCCAAAAAAAAGGGCUAGUAUUUUGGAAAGGCAUCUAUUUUCGUGGAAGGUUUUGACCGCAAGAAAAAAAAAGACUUGUUUCCCACGGAAUAGGAGAGAAUCACGUGGUAUUUUUGUUGUGAGGAAGUUGAGAUUGAUUAGGAAGAAAGAGAUCACAUUCGCUAGGUACAAGUGGAGGCCGAAGAGAAAAAAAAUUGCAGAUAUUUGGAAUGAUAGAUUCGUGGGUAUCCUAUCAUAUAUUGUCCACGUUUUGAGUUCGGAAAUAGAAUAAAAGGAAGGAACGAACACAUGAAGGGAUACNNNNNNNNNNNNNNNNNNNNNNNNNNNNNNNNNNNNNNNNNNNNNNNNAGUGCUUUAUUUGGCAGAUUUGGAUCGGCCAUAUUGAAAAAAAAACUGUUGUUUGGCUUCUCCACGCAAAGAGAACGCAUUGAUUGCAGAUUUGUUUCCUUGCCUUCACGUGAAGAAAAAAACAGAUUUGUUUCCAUCGACUUGGAGUACUAGUUGGCUGGUUCGGUUGGGUUUCCUACCAAAAAAAAAUAGAGAUUGACAAAAAAAACGUGGAAGAGAGUUUGUUGGAAACUUUGGAUAUUCCUUUAGUUGGGAUAACGUUUUGGGAAAAGAUCUGACCGAAUCCUCCAAGUUUGGUAACUUUGGAUCGGCUUAAAAGAAGAAACAAGUGCAGAUCUGGUUUUCCGUUGGAGGUUUCCAAGUCUGGACGUUUUUUUUUUUUGGAGAGAAAAAAAAAGGGAAAAACAAAUUUCGGUUGGAGGUUUCCAAAUUCUGGACGUUUGGGAUAUUCGAAGGAAAAACAAGGAAAGAAGAAAACGUAUACAAGGAAAGUGUGAGCGCUUGAUCUUAUUUUGAGGUGAGAGAAGAAGGAAAGAGAUUGGUUUGGCCAGGAAAUAAAAAGUGCAAGUAAAGGAAGGAAAGUAAAGGAGAGAGAAUGAAAGAGAAAAGCAAAACGUGAGGGAGAGAUAGACUUGUGAACAAAUAUUUAAAAGGAAAGAGAAGGUGCAGAUUUGCUCUCUUGGAAAUUCGGAAAUAAAAGGGUGAGUUUUUUUUUUGCUCAGUUUAAAAGAAGAAACAAGAAAAGGAAGUUACAUCCGGAUUGGGUUUUUUUUUCGGAGAGAGAAGGCAUUUCCUAAGAGAAAAAGAGAGAGUUCAAAAAAAAUACGGAGAACAAAAAGGGAAGAGAUAAGUUGGCUGGGUGCAGCACGUGAGGAAAAAAAGUUUGAGGUUAAAAAACAGUUGAGAGAGCAGCUACACCGAAUAUUUGGAGAUAUCAUACGUGCUAGUAGUUCUAGUUUGACGAGUUAAUUUGGUACGGUUGGCUGAAGAAAAAAAAGGAGGGAUUAUCUGGUGGUAGAAGAGAUAUACAAGUGCUUGUACUUUCUGAUUGCUGCGUCGGUCAAAAUUUUUGCUGCAUCUUGCGUUUGCACGUGAAUUUCACUUGUGUCUUAGGCUCGCGUCUCUAGCACAGUCUAGCCUAGGACCAGCACUCGACCACUUUGAACGAAUUUUCAGCUUGCACUAAUUAACGUGGUUGUAGCAUUUUUUUCCCACAUAUAUAAAGCCAACCCAGCUCCACAUAUUUCUACACCGUCUAUCCAUACGUUCACCUGGCAAUCGCUUUAGCCAACUUUUGGAGUUACUUGACACCGCUGGUUGCCGAUCACCGCCUGCUGCAUGGUAAGACAUUGUAAGACAUUGAUAUUUGUUUUACUGUGAGCGUUUUACUACCACAUCCUAGUAGUUAUAGGAACAUUAUUUUUGGAUUUUGUUUCUUGUUUCUACUAAUCAUGACAGGAUCUAGAGUCAAUCCAUGGGUUUUGUCGAUCGCGGGAGACGUGCCACCACCUAUGCAAAUUCCACAACGAUCACGAGAGGUGCAUAAACAUCCAAAUGCACAUGAUCAGGUUAAUGUUUCUAUACCAUCAUUUAAUGGCCGUUUUAGACCUGCUUUAUAUAUUGAAUGGGAGUUCGACAUAAAUAUUAUAUUUGCUUCCCAUAAUUUUGAUGAAUGUAAAAAAGUUAAGGUUGCGGUUGGUUCUUUCACUGGUUAUGCUUUAGUUUGGUGGAGUGAAUAUUGUCGGUUACACCCUGAUUAUAUACCUAUUACUUGGGAUGUUUUGAAACUUGCCAUGCGACAUACAUUCGUCCCCGCUUAUUAUACUCGUGACAUGAUUAAAAAGUUGCAACAUUUAAAACAAGGUAGUGACACUGUAACGAAAUAUUAUGAUACUUUACAAACUACCUUGUUGCAUUCCUCUUUAGAAGAAAGUGAAGAAGAUUUUAUGGAUAGAUUUUGGGGAGGAUUAAACCGUGACAUUCAGGAGAUACUAAUUCAUGAAACAUGUUAUCCUAUGGACCGUUUGUUUCGUCUUGCUUGCAAAGCUGAACAGGAGAUAACAAGACGUGUUGCCCACAAGAUAAACAAGCGGAAGGUGCAAAUCCCACGAGUUGCGACGGUUGUUCCUUCCACCACUGCGUCUCCUAUGGCAACAACAUCCAUUGUUGAGAGCACUACAUCACCUCCACCAUGUGACGUGUCGCCACCUAGAGUGCCUACAUCAUCUUUGUUGAUCAUCAGAGGUAAUGACAAAGGUACCGAUCUUCCACCUCCACAUGAGUAUGAUGAAUUCCUUGUCAAUUUAAAUGAACCAUGCGAUGAGCUACCCACUACUUUGAUCACACCAGCUAUUUUAGAGGACUAUGUUCAUGAUUUGACUUUGCCAUGUGAUCAAACAAUUUUGAGUGAACCCAUUGAAUUAACUAUUGAUGCAAAAGAACCAUGUGAAUCAGUGAAAAGAUCAGAUUUGGAUCAAAUACGUUUGAAAAUAGUUGUGCCAAUGUUUAAUCAUUUUGAUAUGACCUCUAAUCUUGGUGAUGGUUCAUCAUGGUUGGGAUGGUUUAAUGAUGAGCAUUGCCAAUCUUUUAUUAUGAAUAAGAGCUUCACUUAUAUGUGCAAACUGAGUUGCAAUAUUUUCAUGCCUUUGACUUCUUGUGAUAAUAUAUUGGCUUUAUUUUUCACGACUUUUGAAGGGUGCUCUUGUAUAACUGUGUCACAUGUGCCACAACUAAGAUCAGUUAAAAUGGAUGACAUAUACAUAUACAACGUGUACACCUUGUCUCUAUUGUUAGCCAUAUUUCAGAUUAAGCAACGCCGAGGACGGCUUUGUUUUCAAGAAGGGGAGGAUGAUGAGGACAUGGCUACCAUAGUUACACCCAUAUCCCCUGUUGUUUUACCUCUUGGAACAGUUGCUAGAGCUCAGAUACGCCAAUUAAAUUAUCAGGUACUUUCGUUUCUUGGUAAUGUUUCUAGUGUUCAUGAGAAUAUGAUGCUGCCUAACUUAGAUACAUUUGUGUUGCUUGCAAUUGAAGGGCCUAGCACGGACAAGAAGGAUGAACAUUGGAGCAUGGUCAAGCACGAAGAUGAAGGUGCGUGCAAAGAGAACAAGAACGGAGGUUCAAGUGGAGAUUUCCGGACUUUGAAGCCACCAUGAUGACAUACAAGAAGAUGGACAAAAUAUACAAGAUGGCCUUUCAUAAAUUUCCUCCGUAGCUUAUUAUUGGUGUUGCGCCACCUUAUUUUGGGCCAGGCCCAUGUAAUCUAUUUUUAGAGUCCAUAUUAUAGGGGAAAGGACUUAGGAGGUGUUUUAGUCCCACCUUGCCAAGGGUGGACAAAAUCCCCUCUCUUUUCCCUAUAUAUAUAGCCCUUAAGGCUUCGUUUAGACUUGGGGAUUUGUUUAGUUAAAAGUUAGCCAUUGCAACUUCGUGUACUUCGUUUGUG